AUAAUCUUGGCCACCACGUCCUUCGAAUCCCUCAGUUUUUUUAUGCUUCUGUUAAGCUUCUCACGCUUUACUGCUACUGCCGGUGACUCCUCCAACAUCCUCUCAAUUCCCCCACCGUAAGGUCCCAUCAACUCCUUCACAAUCUCAGCUUCCAUCUCUUUGUUCACAAGGUUGAAAACAGACAGCUGCAAGUGCAAUGCCAUGGAGUCCACAAGCCUCCUCAAAACAACCUUCCAAUAGGCAAUCAUUCUCAUUUUAAGGUCAUAAGCUUGAGCUAACACAUGCGGGUACUUCCUCAGAACACCGACUUCCACUUCCCCGAUGCCUACUAUAUCUAUGAUAGAAGGUUUCUUCUCAUCAGUUAAGACUCCAUGAAUGAAUUCGUUUUGACUAGCCAUCAACUUGUUCCAUUCGGAAACAUAAUCACCAUCACAUGUAUAAUCUGUCAGCUUUUCCAUCUCUACAAGCUCCAGCAUCCACUUGAUUGAUCUCUCCUUCAUCUUGGCCAUUAGACUAUGGCCGGCACGCCUUGCUGAUAACUGCAGCUGAUGAUAGUUAUCCGUAUAAUGCAUCAACACAGAAAUAACCACCUCUUCAAUGUAGUUCCACACUUUUUCCUCAAAUGCAAUCGGAAUACUCGAAAUUUCAUUCACUUUUGCCUGCAAGAUAAUGAGGAAAGCAUUGCGUGGAAGGAAGUUCGGAAGUGAAAUACCUUUGGCCUCCUCCAAGAUCUUGAUCUCCUCCAUCAAGAAGUUGCUCUUUGCAUCAGUUUCAGCACAUCUGUGAAGUUCAUCCGAGUACUGGUUGAGCAUCUCAACCAAUCUAGCAGUGCAGUGCAUGCGAUUAUCUUCGGCGUACUCCUCAAAUUCUCCUCUCAAAAGAAUCUUCCUAAGCGAUUCCUUAGCCAAGCCAAUGAUUUGCAUAAAGGCCGUCAUUGCCUCGGCAACAGACGAAAGACUCUUUGGCAUUUUGUUCAGCAUCAUAAUGCAGAAGUUCAGCCUGUCAUUGAUCUUCUUCACUAUCUCAGGUAUAUUUCUUGCUAUGCUGUUUGCUUGAAUUUGGACCAGCUUCUGUGCUAAAACUGGAAUGCCGACAAUGGACUUGUCAAUCUUCGAAAGCAGAGGAUGGGUUUGAAAUAGUUCAUGAGCCAUCACCGCUGCCUCCUCAUAAGUUUCGUCACCAAUCCUGUUCCUUACACAGACAUAACCAAGACCAAUGUUUACAUCAUCUCCAGUGACCUUCUCAAGUAGUCCUUCCGGUGCCUUGUCCACUUUCGUAACCACAGCGAGCGUCCUCUCACCAGUUUUAUCUACACUUUGUGACAUCCGGAUUGACUCACAAGUAGUAAAAUCCACCGUAGCAGACAAUACAUUCAGAAUAAUACUUUCCUCCGGCUUAAUAUACUCCAUGAUCAUAUCUUUGAUCUGAUCAUAGAUAUUUUCAGGUUGGCCAUGGACUGGAACCCUUGUGAUUCCCGGAAGAUCAACCAUAGUCAGAUCCGGAACCCCAUUCUUCUUCACCAACAAAGUAAGUGGCAUGUUUGAAAUUCCCUUACCUCCCCCCGCAAUAGAAUUAGUCGCUUUCACAAUAUCUUUGGCGAUAUUUUCUUCAUCAGUACGAUCAACUCUGCCAUUGUACUCCAAGGAAAGUUCAGGCUGAGGACUCGAGUGGUGUUCCAGCCUCAUAAUAAGAGGCACUCUCGUGCAGAUGCCUUGGCCCCGAGGUAGGCUGAUGCCGGCCAAGGAUUCGAGCACGCUAGACUUCCCGGAUGACUGGUCUCCGACCACCACAAUCGUUGGCAGCUGAAUGCCUUCAUCCAUCACCUUCAAGCUGCGUAACUUGUCUACCGCAUCCAGAAGAGGGCGGAUCUUGUCGUUAUAGGACGACACAAUGGGUGCGCAUUUGAGAGGUACUACGUCUAGUCCUGCCUGAACCAUUGCGAGUGAGCCUUCACCGUUUAAGACUGUGUAACUCGAUUCCAUUUACCUUCGUCCUUCCGUUUCUGAAUUAUAGGAUGUCGAAACAAUGGUGAAAAUCCAGAGGGAAACCGAGAUUACUUGUCAGAGAAGAUAUCAGUCAGGAAGAAGUGAGAAAGCUGGUUUUAGUAAGUGCCUUAAGGUUAAAGGCUCCUAGUUGUAUGUAUAAUUGUUCAGCAAAACCUAUCGAAGUAAAUGACAACCAGCCGUUUCAAAGGCUCCUAGUAGUAUGUAUAAUUGUUUAGCAUUUUGAAGAUGCUACAUGAAAUGUCGUUUUUAGCCCUUUCCUUUAUCUUUUUUAUUUUUUUUCCCGCGUGUUGCUCGGCUUUGCCGUUUUGCCUUUUUUAUUCUAGGUAUUUAUUUCCUUUUUCUCUCUUGACUUCCCCUCGCACACUUCCAUGCAAUCCCUGUCGCCAUUGUGGCACAAAACACAAUAAAAAAUUAUAAAUAAAUUAGAUGCAUUCGCAAAAUAAUUAUUAAAAAUUUUGAGAAGCCCACCUGUCUUCCAUUGCUUUGCCUUUUGGUUAUUUUAUUUUUUGGUUUUGCUGUUUUUUUUGUCUUCCACGCCGAGCCUGCAAUGGUUUGUGGCAAACAACACAUAGGGGGUGGGUUCAAAAAACCGAAAACCGAAAAAAAUCGAAAAUCAAACCGAAUCGAAACCGAACCGAACAAAAAAACCGAACCGAAUUGAAAAAACCGAACCGAACCGAAUUAAUUAAAUUAAUAUUUUUUUAAAUUUUAUUUAUUUAAUUAUUUGUUUUGGGUAUUGUUUUUUAAACCCAAUUUGUAAUAUUUUUAAACCCAAUUUUAUUUGUUUUGGAUAUUAUUUUUUAAACCCAAGUUGUAAGCCCAAUGUGUUACCAAAUACUUACUACCCUUUUCUCAUUUUUCUCACACUCCAAUUUUACUUCUAAUUAUUUAUGGUUUGUUUGUUUCAUCACUAAACCAGUUGCUUUCCAUUUGUCUCUUGAUCAAUCAUGUUCUUCUUUGUUUGUCUUUUUAUUGUUUGAAUUGAAAUUAUGAGUGAUUUGGAGUAAUAAUCAUAGGGUAAUCAAAUUUACUUGUACAACUUCUCUCUCUUUGCACUCCAGUCCAUUUACUUUCAUAUCUCUGCUGAGUAAAAAUUGAGGGGGAGAGAGAGAGUUAAACAUUUUAAAUUUUAUUUUUUGUUGCUUGACUUUGUAAAAGACUGAAACUUUCACUGCAUUCUCUUAGAAAACUAAACAUACUAUUGGAUUUGAUGGUUGUUUGUGAUUUGGGUUUUACUGCUUUGUUUGCCCUUUAUUAAUAAUCAUGUAAUGUUUGAGUGAUCUAUUUUGCUCAAAAGUUUUAGGACUUUCCUUGAUAUUUUUUAAGAAACCAAACAAGGAUUAACCCUAUGUAUACUUUGUUUGUUUGCUUGAUGUGAAAAAAAAAUAUCCAAAACAAAUAAUUAAAUAAAUAAUACUGAGAAAAAGAGAAUUUAAAAUAUCAUUACUUUUUAAACCCAAUUUCUCAAGAACCAAACAAAGAUUAACCCUGUGUAUACUUUGUUUUUUUUUAAAAACCCAACCAUGAUGUAAAAAAAACCGAAACCGAACCGGAAAAAACCAAACCGAAAAAAAAAUAAACCGAACCGAAAUUUCGGUUCGGUUUCGGUUUUGGCAAAAAACUGAACCCACCCCUAACAACACGUAUAAAAAAAAUUAUUUGCCCAAAAAAAAAGAUUACAUGGACAAAACAAUUAUUAAAAAUUGAGAUAUUUGUCCCCUUUUUCUCUCCUGACUUCCCCUGCUUCCCUGCAUUCUUGCCAUGUCGCCUGUUGCAGGGAGAAGGUGAGAAUUGGUUGUGCCACGUGUUGGUGAUCAUGUUGUUUACUUUUUGGGGUUUAUAUUGGUGGAGGCACAUUCUCUGCCUUCUUAAUUUCGGUGUCCUCCUGUUUUGUGUGGUCACGGUUAAAUCAUUUCAACAUUUUAUAUUAUUUUUUAAUAGAGAUAAUAAGACAAAAAAGAAUAGUAAUAUAUAAUGUUGAUCUGACUUAACCUUGACCACACAAACAGGAGGGCACGGGAGAGCACUGAAAUUGGGAGGGCAGAAAAUCUGCCUCCUAUAUUGGUUCAUUUUAGUACCGUUUGGUACGCAGACGGGACGAAAGGGAACAAGACGGGAUGAGACGGGACGAAACAGUGGUUCCAUGUUAUAUUUGGUAUGUACAGGACAGAACGGGAAAGUUGUUCCGUUGUGGGUUUGGUAAGCGCAAGACGGAACGGAACCAAAAGAAUAAAAUGAUUAACUUACCCCUGUUUCGUCUGUUGUUUGGUACAAUAUUUAGGCUUGGUAUGGGACGGAACAAUUUCAUUAUUUUUUCACCUUCUUGCUGCUGCUUAUCUAUGAUAUAUUUUGUACACUAUACUUGGAUGUGUUCAUAUUUCAUACCGUGUAUAACAGAAAACAAGAGACAUGUAUUUGUACUUUAUGUUGCUCAUAUAAUUAAUUUAGUGGGAUAAUACGUCAAUUAAUUUUAUGUGAUUUAAAAAAAUAAUAUGGUGAGAGCAUGCCAUUGGCUUGGCACUUUGGAACAUGGCAGUGUAGCCACAAUAUGUAUAUGUGAUGAAUUACAUAUGAAAAGGUUGGUGUGGUAGAACAACCGUUGAUGCAAUGGCUAUGUUGGAAUCUUUGACACAAUCUGCUUUCAUCUCUUCAUCAUCACAUUGAAAUGCAAAUUGUGUCAAACAAUAUGUAUAUUAUAAGUUGAGAUGUGAGUCAAUUGGAUGUCUAUGGCAAUGGUUGUCAUGCAAGGAUGAAAAAUAUAGAAGUUUAAUGAUAUUAUCUUGCUAAAGCAAUAAACAUGAAAUAUCCAGAGCUUAAACAUGAAAUCCCAAAUUAAACAUUCAUCUUGACUUAAAGAAAAAAGAAAAGAAAGAUAAUGUCUUACUAAACCCCAGAAGUUGAUAUAGUUCAUUCAUAUCAUACUAAACCCCCUAAUGCUCAGAUGUCAUCCAUAAAUAUUUUAAUGAAAUCUGCCUUGUGAGAGUCAUCCAGGGUACACCAAAUACUCAACAUAUCAGUAUUUUUCACUAAUUUUUAUUGAAAUUUUCAGCACUUGAUCAUAUGGGAGACCCAUGGCCUGAACUCGAUACAAAAAAUUUAGUCUCAUAUUCAUCUAUACCUUCACAUGAAAAAAAAACACAUGAAUGAAUGGAGCAUCAACAUACGUGGGAUUCAAUUACAAGCAUAUGAUUAAAUGGUAAAACAAAGUGGAGCUUCAUAUCCUAAUUGCAAUUCUUAAAGUGGAGCAUCAACUUUGUCAUGCACUGAAAAUCUGAGUGAUACCAUAUGAGGAUUCGAGUAAUGCUAUAUGACCCAAAUGCAGUUCAGUCUACAUUAUUAAAAGAUGGCAGUCCGAACAACAAGAAUGUACCAGCUUUAACAAUGACUUCUAAGUUUUGCAUAUGCUGAAGUUAAGAAUAUUCAAGCAUCAAAUAUGGCAGUCUGAACUCAAUACACUAUAAGACCUUACAUAAAUAGGUGACUACAUUAUUAAAACAUACCAGCAGUACUGCAAUAAAUAGUGAGCCAUACUAUUAACGAUCAUUUAUGACACGCCCCGAUCCCGAUGUCCUGUAGACAUCGAGAUGGUCACGUGUUGGCCGACACCCGAGGGGUGACGUAAGCCAUUCGAUUAAAGUAAAAACCCAUAAAAUGCUCACAAGCAUGAAUAAUAUAGCUCAAACCAUAGCAAUUAAACGUAAAGCAGCAGAAACAUAAUUACAUUAAAAUAAUAUUCAACUGCCAACACAAAACAAAACAAGAUACAACAAACCCUGUCCAGAGCAUACGUCUAAUAUAGAUUACAAAAGAAAGAAUAUAAAUUGAAUAACAAAAGGAGUGGAUCCUACAAUGAGAGGACUCAAAGAUGCCAAUGCAGAAGUGUCUUAACGCCGGGAUUGUAUGCCUCGAAUCUAAGCCCUAAAGGGGGCGCAAAACAAAGGUGAGUGGACCAAUUUGAUAUACAUAUAAGAAACAAUUAUCAACAUACUAUCCCGCAGGUUUUAUGAAAACUCAUAUAUAUCAUGAUAAACAUAGGUUUAUCGAAACCUAGAAUGUCGUGCAAUAUUUCAAUUCAUAACUCGCCAUGCAAUGUCUCAAUUCAUAACUCGUCGUACAAUAUCUCAAUUCAUGAUUUGCAUAUAAUAAUCACUAGUGUCAAAUGUUCACAUAUAUCCCUCCUGGCCCUAUGCCAUCUCCCCGUCCCUGAGCAUACAGUUAGAGGAAAAUAUCGCUUCAGGCCCUAUGCCAGCUCCCCGUCCAUGUGCUAAAUAGCCAGAGGAAACACACUCCAGGCCCUAUACCAACUCCUCCGUCGCUUGGGAUGGACCGGAAUCUAUCUCUCAUCCCGUAGCGGAAAUUGGGACCACUAGGUAAUAUAGAACCAUUGCACAUACAUCUCAUAAACAUUCUCAUAAACUCAUGCUUCUCAUGUAUGCAUUUCUACUAAUAAAACAUGCAUUUUUAGAAAGGGGUCACUCACAGUACUUCGCCGUCGAAAGCCGCGCUGCUAGCGAAGAAACAGUGCCACAAUAUAUGCACUUAAGCACAUAAAGGGUUCAACACAGUCAAACUCUAUUCAGAUGAUUUAAUUUAGGAAAACAGACUUAAAAAACGGAUCUAAGACGUCGAAAUUAACCUACGAGGGAAAUUAACCUACGAGGGGUCCUGAACGAAAUCCAAAAAGUCAACUCAGAACAGUCAACGAUCAACGGGUCAAAGUCAACGGGUCGGGUCAACCGAGUUUUGGAUUGGAUUUGGAUCUGGGUAUAGGGUUUGGGUUUUUGGGUCACGGGCCAGAGGCCCUAAUUGAAGGAACCCAAAAGGGUUCCCUGGGUUUGGGUUACACGGGCCAAAGGCCCUGGUCUUCUCGGCCCAAGGCUUUAAGCCUAGGGUUUGGGUUUUAGCUGCCAAGGCCCUAAGGGCUUUUGGGUUUCGAAUUGAACGGGCCGAAGGCCCCAACUAAAAUAAAAAAAUGUAACGAGCUAGGGAACUGGGUCUGCUAGCAAUGGGCCUAAUGCCCAAAAUAAAAUGGCCCAAAGGCCUUGUGAAUUAACAAGCAAAAUAAUUAAAAUAUAAAUAAAAGAAAAUGGGCUGGGUUUGCAACGGGCCUAAGGCCUGAGGGGGUUUGGGUCGGUCCGAAGGCCUGGGUGCGCCGGGGGAAAAACCAGAGGACACCGAAGCUGCUACAGCUCUGGCUGACUACAAACGGAGGUCUAGUGCUCCAAUCUAGCUACCAAAAUGGAGUACAAGAAGAGGGGAGUACUUUGGUACCUUCAAAUCGAAUUGAAUUGACCGGAUUUGCUCAGAAAAGUCCACGGCGCUCACAGGUUCGUCGGAGAAAUGGGUGUGCUCACCCCGUGUGUCGAUCUCGACCUAAACCUCAGAAAAAUCAUGAAAGUCACUUCCAAUUUCUCAAUCAAACACAAUUUAACCCUGAGUGAGAACGAUCGGAGGCUUACCUAGCCGGAAAAAAAGAAGAUUCGCCGGAGGUUUCCUGUGUUGUUUUUCCUUCGUGCGUGCGUGCGUGUUCACGGGAGGGAUGCGAGGGAUACGGGAGAGAGAUGAGAGAUUUAGUUUCGAGAAAGACUGAGGGAAUACAGAGAGAAAGAGAGAUGAUAGGGAUAGGUGAUGUGGGAAAUGGAGGACAUAAUCAGGGUGGGCCCCUUGGGCUUACCAUUUAAGGCCCAAAACAAUAUUUUAUAAAAAGAAGGAGGGUGGGGUGUAACAAUUUAGCUUAUUAUCCCCCACUCAAGACAGGGCCAGGCCAUUAUUAUUAACAGUUUGAGGUUAAAUACAAAAAUCCUACGUAUUCGUCCGAUCAAUCUGUGGGAGAAGAAAUUUCAAGAUAGGAAGAUAAUAUCUUUCCUUGCUAUAAAAAAACUUCAUUUAUUUCUAAAAGCCAGUGGUAGAAUAACUAUCAACUUGGGGCCACAUCACACAUACACGGUACAACAUUGGUCUCUCUUUAACCUUUGUUAUAAAAACGCAUCUAAGGUCAUUAAAACAAUUCAAACAUGCUCCUUCCACUAACUGAACAACCAAAGAAUGCUGUUCUUCACUAGACAUACUGAUCAACUAUAACAAAACUCACGAUGAUAAGUAAUAGGUACGGUGAAUACAAUCAAAUAAAAUAUGUUGCAAGAUGUAGAACUUUGCAGAAAUAUUAAUGUAAAGAAAGAACAAAAAAUAUUCGAGGCAAACAAGUUACUCGUCCCUAAGAAAAACCCUCAAAUUACUUGAUUCUUCCAACAUAGAAUCCAAUCCAACAUAGGAAAAUCCUAAACAUGUAACCCAAUCCAAUCCAACAGAACCCAAAGACAUCAGAUUUAUAGAUUUUAGCACAUAAAAAAUGAAACUUGAACACUAGAAAACCAGAUAGAGAGAUACCUCUGAAUGUAGUACUGCUCAAUAGGGGGAGUGGAAUGAGAUAAACAGAGGCGGAUCUUUGGUUUCAGAUGCAGUAUUGGGUAGAUCGAAGCACUACAAAAUACAAAGAAAAAAAAAAAAAAAGCAAAUCAGAAAAGAAUACAAAGAAAUCGAAGCACUAAAAAAUACAAAGAAUUUCAGCAGAAUUAGGAACUGGGUGUUAAUGAAAUCGAAGCAAGCAAAUCAGAAAAGAAUAAUAAUGCCACUUCAAGCAACAGCAAACACCAAACCAAGAGAGAAAGUACUACAAAAUACAAAGAAAGAGAGAUCGAGAGACUACACAAUCACUAUCAGAUUGAACCUGGAACGGAGAUGCAGAGCUGAAAGUUCACAGAGAAGCUACAUGGAAAAGGAUGAGGAGGAAGGUUGCGAAGGGGAGAUGCAGGAGGAUGAAUAAGUUCACAGCGACAGAGAGAAGAGAAAUGAUAGUUAGGGUUUGUCGUAUGAUAUAGAUGGUGUAAAUAUUGAAAAAGCUAAGGGGUAUUUUUGCCUUAAAAUUUUAUGAUUUUUGUGUUCCACGUGAUGGAACAACCCGUUCCCGGGGGAGAGGGGAGGUGGCACCAAAAUUUAACCCAUUUUCUUUCCGUGGGACAGCGCGUUCCACAUAAUUUAGGGCACCAAACAUGGGACGGAACACGUCCAUCCCACUCCGUUCUGUCCCAUCCAACGUACCAAACGCACCAUUUCCGUUUCAGCUUAGUUCCCUUUUUGUUUGCACAUUUGUGCAUUGAAAAGUCGAUUAUGCCCUUUGCUGGGUGCUAUCUUCCUUAUUUCAGUUCCUCAUAGUUUAAGCGGCUGUUUCUCAGCCCACGUGUCGGUUAUCGUGAGGUUUGGUCUUCCAUCUAUAUCCACCCUGCUUUGUGAAGCUGCUGGAAAUGUCUUCCAUUUUGAGCGUUUUCUUAAUUUUUUUCGUACUUUGUGUGUGGAUGUUUGAUCUAAUUUCAUUUUUUUGUUUCAAGAAACGUUGGCCUUCGAAUUUUAAGGGUUUAUUGUACAAGCUUGCAAGCCCUUUCUGGGUGAGGUAUAUAAUUUUUGUUUUUGUUCUUAAAUCUUUUUCCAAUAGAAUUUUAAUUGUUUUUUUGGUCCUGUUUUGUUUUUGGUGUGAUGAUUAAUUAUUGGGCGGUGAAGCAUCAACACGUACACAAAAUGGGUGUAGCGGAGAUGAGGAUGCUUCGUUGGAUGUGUGGGCACACGAGAAAGGAUAAGAUUAGGAAUGAGGAUAUCCGGGGUAAAGUAGGAGUAGCCGAAAUUGAAGGAAAGAUGAGAGAAAAUCGGUUACGAUGGUUUGGACAUGUGCAAAGAAGGCCUACUGACGCUCCGAUUAGAAGAUGCGACUAUGGGACAGAGGUUCAGGGCCGAAGGGGUAGAGGAAGACCUAGGAAAACUUUGGAAGAGACCCUAAGAAAAGACUUAGAGUACUUGGAUCUAACGGAGGACAUGACACAGGACAGAACACAAUGGCGUUCUAAGAUUCAUAUAGUCGAUCCCACUCAGUGACUUGGAUUUUCCAAGUCUCCAACCGAGAAGUUUUCCUCACUCGGGAAAUUAAGGGAACACUACCUCAACCUACAUGCUCCACUCAUAAAGCUUCAACAUACAAACUUCAACAAAAGAAAAUUCAAAGAACUUAGCGAAGAAGGCUUUGGUGUAUUUAACACAAUACGUUGAAAUGAAGGAAAACUUAUUUAUUGAUAUCCCUGAUAAGUUACAAAUAUGUACAUAUACAUGAGUCAAAAUAAACAAACAAGAGGGAGCCUUCACAAAUGUUGUUUAGGAGAAGUCUUAGCAGUCGGUAGAGCCCCAGAAAGAGAAGGCACCGGACGGGGAUCAUUCGGAGCCUCAGUACUGGACAGAACCCUAGAAGGAGGAGGCAUCAGAGGUUGAUCAUUUGGAGCUUCAUUACGCGGUACAACCCCAGAAGACGAAGGCAAUAAAUGCCUUUGGAACAAACCCACAAAUCUCUGAUGAUCAAGUAAAACCUGACCAUCAGAUUCCUUCAUCUGGUCAAGCUUCCUCUUCAUGUUUGUAGCAUAGUCAUGUGCGAGCCGGUGCAACUGUUUAUUCUCAUGCUUGAGCCCUCUAAUCUCCUGUUUGAGACUCAUCACUUCAGCCGCCAAUGAUUCAACUUGGCGGGUUCGAGCAAAUAGGCGUUGGACCAUAUUAGACACAGAACCUGCACACUGAACACUGAGAGCCAGAGAAUCCUUAACAGCCAACUCAUCAGACCGUUUGGAAAGUAGUCUGUUAUCUUUGGGAGUGAGAAGGUUCCUGGCCACUACCGCAGCGGUCAUAUCAUUCUUCAUCACGGAAUCCCCAACGGUAAGAGAACCAGUAGGGGAGACGAAUGAUGGGCGUCAUAUGUUGUCUGGAGAAGGCGGGGCUGUCUCUUCAACAAGGUUCAAGUCAAAACGACGGUCGGAGGGGCCAGACAUUUUCAAAGGUGUUGAAGAGAGAAGAGGUCGGACAAAUCAAGAUCUUAGAAGUGCAAGAAUGAAGCUUCUACUGGUGGAGAUUCAAGUGUGCUUUGGAACUUAAUGCCAGCCCCUAUAAAAAUCUGCACUCGACGAAGCUUCAGAAAUCGAAGAGGCGCCUGCUCAGAAAUCGAAGAGGCGUUUGCUUUCUCAAAAGCUGGGCUGCUCAGAGACCACGAGGGUCGAUCUCAGAAAUCGAAGAGGCGUUUGCUUUCUCAAAAGCUGGGCUGCUCAAAGACCACGAAGGCCGAUCUCAGAAAUCGAAGAGGCUUGCUUUCUCAAAAGCUGGGCUGCUCAGAGACCACGAGGGCCGAUUUCAGAAAUCGAAGAGGCACAUACUUUUCCAGCCUUGUCAGCACCUGCCACACGCACACUCAGCUUUGCGGAAAUUAUGGGCAUUCUGUCGAAGAUUUCUGGUGAAGUAGAAAACACAUGAAUCGUACUGUUCAAUCACCCACUUCCCACACGCAACAGUAGCUCAUGGGUACCACAUAUAACUUUGCCAAAGUUAUCUGACAAAGUUGAGACACGUGAAGCUUGCAGCUCUCACUACAUCGCUCUGACCAAGAAGGGUAAAAGAAUAGCAAAGAAACAACACUAACAAAGUUUAGACACAUAAAUUUUGAAGGUCUAGCUACCAUAUUAUUACCCAUAAGGGUAAAGGAACAGUACCACUGCUGGAUAAUUGGAAGGUCCCGGUGUGUCAACCUCUGUACUUCGUGGCAAGGUAGACUAGCAAACAUGCCCAACCUUUACUCACAUUCAAGAAAACACUCCCAACAAGAUUGCUUGCUCCAAAAUCGAAGAGGCACCGCUUUCCGAAUCUUGAGAGCCAGACUCCCAACAUGAUUACUUUCUAAAAAAUCGAAGAGAGGGUAAAGGAACAGUAACACUGCUGGAUAAUUGGAAAGUCCCUGUGUGUCAACCUAUGUGCUUCGUGGCAAGGUAGACUAGCAAACAUGCCCAACCUUUACUCACAUUCGAGAAAACACUCACAACAAGAUUGCUUGCUCCAAAAUCGAAGAGGCAUCGCCCUCCGAAUCUCGAGAGCCAGACUCCCAACAUGAUUACUUUCUCAAAAAUUGAAGAGAGGGUAAAGGAACAGUACCACUGCUGGAUAAUUGGAAAGUCCCUGUGUGUCAACCUCUGUGCUUCGUGGCAAUGUAGACUAGCAAACAUGCCAAACCUUUACUCACAUUCGAGAAAACACUCCCAACAAGAUUGCUUGCUCCAAAAUCGAAGAGGCACCGCCCUCCGAAUCUCGAGAGCCAGACUCCCAACAUGAUUACUUUCUCAAAAAUCGAAGAGACACCGCUCUCCGAAUCUCGAGAGCCAGACCCCCAACAGGAUUGCUUUCUCAAAAAUCGAAGAGGCAUCGUUCCCCGAAUCUCGAGAGCCAGAUCCCUGACAGGAUUGCUUGUUCGAAAACCGAAGAGGCACCACUUUCCCAACUUCAAGAGCUGGAUCUCCUUGGAUAAAGCUUGUCUGUAAUCUUCACACGCAACAUCAGCUUUCCAGAGACCACAGACCACUUUUUCAAAGUGCUCCGACAGAGUUAAAACAUGUGAAGCUGGCAGCUCCCACUACCGUGCUAUGACCAAGCAGGGUAAAGGAAUAGCAUUAUUACUUGAUGUUAGUGAGACUCCUAUAUAUGUCGACCUCCAUCCCCAACGGACAGGCAGACCUGCAAAAAUGCUCAACCAUUCCUCUUAUAUGAGAGGGCACUCCCAACGAAGCCUUUCGAAAUAUUCAACUUUCUUUCCCCUCGAUAAUACCUCUGCAAACAAGCUAUACUAGAGCAAGAAUAUCUCAUAUCAUCAGGGUUAAAAGCAAGAGUAUCCCAUAUCAUGCUUUUUCCCUGUCUUUUCCUUUGGCCUUGUUCUUACCUGCAAGACAAGGAGAAAGAGAGCAAUCAGUCAGCACUUGGAAUCAAGCUUCCAACCAGGAAUUGAUUGCCUAGAACCCCUUACCUGAGUACUUACCUGGCAUUGCUCUCGAGUACUCAUCUUCAACAUCUUAUGCUUCCAGGGAAGAUACCGCAUCUGCCUAAGGAACAGAUAGGUCAAGUGAGAAGGAUACAAAGAAGCAUGUGGAGACAAGCGUAACAGCACACGUGCCGAUACAUCCACUACUCUGUCAAAAGCAAAAGUAUCCCAUAUCAGCAGGGUCGAACGUACUCUAGAUUUGAUGGACUUGUUUUGACCCUCAAAUUCUUCAGUCGGCCUUAUACUCUGGAGGAAACCAGAAAACCCUCAAGCCCAGUUCAAGAAUAAGCCUGUGGAAAGUUACUUCUUCAAAAGCAAAAGUAUCCCAUAUCAUCUCUUCUCAUUUUUCUUCUCUUUAUCCUUCCUGCUGCCUGCAAGAUAGGGAGAAUGUGAACAAUCAGCCGGAGCUCUGAUUUCUUACCUUGUCUGUCACAUCUUUUAGCAGAUCCCCUAGCCCGGCGACUUGGGGGACUCCUACUACAUGGUUUGUAUCGUGCUUGACCAAGCCUGAAACUACAAGUAAGCUUCAAGUGAAAUUGAUACAUUACCUUGUGCAUCUCCACCAGUUAAAGAUACCACCCCUGGAUGGAGGAAGAGUACUUCCAGAGAAGAUGUCACAUCUACCUAUGAGACAGAUAAGGCAAGUCAAGACGAUACCACACUCCGGUACUUAGAAGUUUUGUGAUUACGAGAUCAUUUUCCCACAAUAUUUCCUAAUGUCAUUUGUACUAAAUCAUUCACUUGUACUCACUAAAGGAGAGCUUGAACCUAUGUACUUGUGUAAACCCUUCACAAUUAAUGAGAACUCCUCUAUUCCGUGGACGUAGCCAAUCUGGGUGAACCACGUACAUCUUGUGUUUGCUUUCCUAUCUCUAUCCAUUUAUAUACUUAUCCACACUAAUGACCGGAGCAAUCUAGCGAAGAUCACAAAAAGCGACCGUUUUCGCUACCUAGGAUCUAUCUUGCAAGAGAAUGGAGAAUUAGAUGGAGAUCUCAACCAUAGAUUACAAGCUGGAUGGAUGAAGUGUAAGAGUGCAUCCGGCAUGUUGUGUGACCGUCGUAGGCCACUGAAGCUCAAGGGAAAAUUUUAUAGGACGACAAUAAGGGCAGCGAUGUUGUAUGGCACCGAAUGUUGGGCGGUGAAGCAUCAACACAUACACAAAAUGGGUGUAGCGGAGAUGAGGAUGCUUCGUGGGAUGUGUGGGCACACGAGAAAGGAUAAGAUUGGGAAUGAGGAUAUCCGAGGUAAAGUAGGAGUAGUCGAAAUUGAAGGAAAUAUGAGAGAAAAUCGGUUCCGGUGGUUUGGACAUGUGCAAAGAAGGCCUACUGACGCUCCGGUUCGAAAAUGUGACUACGGGACAGAGGUUCAGGGCCGAAGGGGUAGAGGAAGACCUAGGAAAACUUUGGAAGAGACCCUAAGAAAAGACUUGAGUACUUGGAUCUAACGGAGGACAUGACACAAAACCGAGCGCAAUGACGUUCUAGGAUUCAUAUAGCCGACCCCACUUAGUGGGAAAAGGCUUUGUUGUUGUUGUUGUUGUUGUUGUUGUGUUUAGUUUGCGGAUCUAUUUUCUAUAAAAAAAAUUGGUGAUAAUUGAUUUUGAGGUUGUGUUGUAUAUGGAUUUUUAGUGUGGGUAUAUGAUUUGGUUUUUUUAUUUUGAGGAAGCAGUGGCCAUCGUUUUUUACCGCUUAUAUAUAUAUUAUUCCAGAAGCUUGAGGUAUAAAAUCUUGAAAUUGCUCACCUUAAAUAGACAGCGGCGUGCAUAUGUAGUUUAUCAUCGAAUAAUCAACCUCUCAUCACUAAAUUAACGUUUAAGUUUGUUUUUAAUUUAGUUCACAAAUGAAUCAACCAAGUUUUCAUGCCAUAUUGAUACGAAAUUAUAAAGAAAUGUCGAUCAUAUUUUGUUUGUUUGUUUUCCUUCUUUUGAGAUCUAUUAUUCAUAUAUAUCAUAGAUGAUGAAGAAUAAAAGAAAUUAAAUGCCGCUUUGGAUGAUAAGUUGAUGUUGAUGACAAGUACUAUUGAUGAUACCCACUAUUUCUCAUCUGUUCUAAUGCUGCAGGUAUGUAUAUUAUGUAACAAGUUCUCUAUCAGUUUGUUAAUAUCCAUAACCAAUACAGGUUUUCAAACACUUACACAGGUUUGUAUUUCAGUGAAAAAAUUGUAGGAAAAACAAAAGGAGGUUGAGCCUAUCUACAUAGUGAGUCGAAAGAAAAAUUAAACUCAACAACUAGAGAAUGAGAAUGGUUUGAUGAAAAAUAGGAAAUGAACACAUAUAAGGUAAUGUCACAAGGUGAGAUUUCAGUAUGAAUUUUUCAUUGUCAUACUAAUUAAUGCUUUUAAACCAAUCGGUAUAGAUUCUAUUUUUAGUUUCUUUUGCUUGAUCAAUUUACAUUCCUUUUUUAACCAAAUGCAAGUUCCAAUAUUGCAUUGAUGACAAAUAAAUUAAUUGAGAUUGAAGCUUUCUCUGAUUGAGAAAUCUCUUUUUGUUUAAAUAGUGUUACAAUUUUGUCUUUAUUUUUUUUCCCAAGAGGUGGACUUAAAAAGGAUAAAGUAUGCAAGGGAAUGGUAGGAUCAACAUAUCAAAGGUAGACAUCGAUUUUUUCUCUCAUGUUAAACUUAUAUUGUGAUGUUUAUUAUUAUUAAAUUUUGAAAAAAAAAAAUUGCUUAUCAUAACCUUAUCACAAUACUAAAUAACAGGGAGAGAGAUGAAAAAUAGAGGUAACUAUUUGAUUGUAUGCUUACUUUGGAGAUUUUGUGUAAGAUCCCACAUACUUAUAUGUAUAUUCCCAUCUCUACCUAGCACGAGGCUUUUUGGGAGCUCACUGGCUUCGGGUUCCAUCGGAACUCCGAAGUUAAGCGAGAAGGGGGCUAGAGCACUCCCAUGAUGGGUGACCCACUGGGAAGUUGUUCGUGAGUUCCCAGAAACAAAACCGUGAGGGCCUGGUUCCCGGCCAGGGCCCCACCACAACCUGGGCCCGCUCUACCACCGUAGCACGAUAUUGUCCGUUUUGGGCCCCAACCAUGCCUUCACGGUUUUGUUUCUGGAAACUCACGAUCAACUUCCCAAUGGAUCACCCAUCAUGGGAGUGCUCUAGCCCCUUUCUCGCUUAACUUCAGAGUUCCUAUGGAAUCUGAAGCCAGUGAGCUCCUAAAAGGCCUUAUGCUAGAUAGGAAUGAGAAUAUACAUUUAAGGAUCACUCACCUGGGCGAUGUGGGAUGUCACAAUCCACCCCCUUUAGGGACCCGAUGUCCUCGUCGGCACACUUCCGGCCAGGGAUAGGCUCUGCUACCAAUUGUCACAUCCCGGCUCGGGCCCCCACCACAACCUGGGCCCGCUCCACCAUCGUAGCACGAUAUUGUCCGCUUUGGGCCCCAACCACACCUUCACGGUUUUGUUUCUGGGAACUCACGAGCAACUUCCCAGUGGGUCACCCAUCAUGUGAGUGCUCUAGCCCCCUUCUCGCUUAACUUCGAAGUUUCUACAGAACCCGAAGCCAGUGAGCUCCCAAAAGGCCUCGUGCUAGGUAGGGAUGAGAAUAUACAUUUAAGGAUCACUCAUCUGGACGAUGUGGGAUGUCACACAAUUGACUAAGAAUUUGUUAAAUCAUUUUAACAUGUAUUAUAAUAAGAUAUUUACUUUUUAUGAUACAUUUCUAAUUUUUGCAAAUUACUUGAUUUACUAUUGUUAUAUGGUUUACAGAUUUUUAUGUUAAGUGUGUCACUAUAUUGUUGUAAUAGUUAAAUUGGAUGUAAUAUGAAGUGUUGAGAUAAAACUAGGCACAACUAAUUAUCUUUCACUUCUUGAGAUACAGUCAUUGUUUGAUUUAGCCUAUAACUGAUAAAUCUUUAAUUAUAAUUGGUUUUUUUAGUUUACCUGGAUCAGAACUGAUAACCGUAUAAAAGGGCAGUAAAAAUUAAAGUCUGCCUGUUCUGAUGACAACUGAUAAAUAUACAGUUCUGCACUGUAUACUGGUUGAUGAAAAGGUGAGCAAUCAUUACUUAAUGAUCUUAAGUAAUAACUACUUAGUAUUGCUCAUUGAAAAUUUAUUAAUUGUUUCAAUGCAUAUGAUCUAACAUUUCUGCUUUCUGUAAUAAACACUAUUUAUGAUCUUUAUUUUUUUGGUCAAAAACACUAUUUGGGAUCUGUUUGUCAUCUUUAGACAUUGCUUGAUUUUGUAUUGUCAAAUGAUAUAUAUUUUCAUAAUCACUGUGUCUGUAUAGUAUAUGGAUUAUAUAUAUAUAUAUAUAUAUAUAUAUAUAUAUAUAUAUAUAAUAUUAAGUGUUCUAUUCUUUGUAUUAGAUCUUUUUAUACUUAAACAACUUUUUUUAAGUGUUAAUUAAAAUGAUUAAUUGAUAGUUACUGUUUGCCUAUGCAUAUUCUUGCGUAGUAUUUACUAUGCACAUGCAUAUUCAUGUUAUACUAUAUGUAAUGGUCACUGUUAUUCACUUAUUCACUUGAUAUUUAACAAUAUUUUUUUCUUGCAUUUUUUCCCAUGCUGAAUUGUCAAGCGACAAUCAAUAUAAACUUAUAUGAAUUUUGUUUCUUCAUUGUUAAUUUACUGAUGCUAGGGAUAAUUUAAGCUUCUACAUUCUUAACAUUUUUCAUAUUUGACUUGCAGGAUUAGUGUCAAUGUACACAUUUUUGCAACUAUUUGUUCUGUCUUUCUCCCUCACUCUGUAUAAUUUUAGUCAAAUUGAACUACUCUUUAAAACUUGAGAUUUAACUAAAGUACUUAGAACUUAGUUAAAUGAAAGUUUACUUCGGUUUGAUGACAUUUACAUGAUUAUUAGGUUCACAAUCAUUGGAUGCAUUAUCUUUUAUAUGUUUUAAUCAUAAUGUCAUAAAAUUUUCGAUCCCGCAACAACGCGCAGGUCACACUUCCCGCAGCAACGCACGGGUUAUGCUUUCCAGUAGUAACUAAAGUCUGCUUAGUAGGCCUCCAAGAAAUUGUGGUUUCACCAACAAUACCCGUUUAGGAUAUUGCCAUGCGGGGAUCAAAUAAGUACCCAGCAUCAACAUAACCAACAAAGGAAACUCGAGAACUGGGUGGAGGGGGUGAGGAAGGGACGGUUGCACUCGAAUUUGAGUAGGGAUAUGACAAGUCCAAGUCUCACAGUACCAUUAAGAUAACAUAGAAUUUAUGUAACACCUUUCAAUGUCUGCGUGUUGGCACAUGAUUGAGAUUUAUAAUGCAGGAGAUGUUAGGUCUUCUACACUGAGAUAAGUACAGCAAAGUACCAAUUGCAAUUAAGUAUGGAACCUCGGGUUCUUAAACCUCUUCAUCAUCUAUCUUUGGAUGGUAUAGGUCUCGUUGUGCAUCAAGCGUACGGAUGACCAUGAGUGUACUCAAAGGUAAUGCUUUAUCAUUAAAGCAAUGUAACACCAUCUUGGUGUAGUUUGACUAAUGGACAAGAAUGUUGGAUUGUGAACUAUCUUAGUACAUAUUUGUAGAAGUGUGGCGGGUGGCGUAAGCAUACAUAAUCAUUUAACAUGCAUGUUAGCGGAAUGUUGGAUUCCGUUUAAUUUAUGUAUUGGUUAUGUUCAGGUAUAAUAAAAUUAAGAACACAUGUAUAAACUUCUGAGUUUUAGAAUUCUAACCUUUAGAUUUCAUAGGCGGAUGCAUUCAAUAUUGUUAAGGCUCCAAAGUGUUACCCCUCUACCAGUAUCUACACGAAUAUAUCUCCAACUAGUGAAGCAAGAAGACGACAAUCUGCUAGAACUUUAUCCAUUAGGUAGGUGUUGCAACAAGGGGAUUUGGUAUGGUGUUUUGUUUUUCAAUUCUUUAAAUUGGAAAACCUAAUUCUUUUCUCUCUAAUUUCUAUUUCCGCUUUGUGAAUUCUCACACUAUGUUACAUAGAGCCCUUAGGCUUAAAAAGAGAACAAUUUCUAAUUAAGCCAAUAGGAUUACAGAUUAAUUCUCUACCACAAAUGUGUGUCGCACGCCUUGGGAAAAAUUUUGAGAAACUUUGGGGUUCACUAGUCUGUAUCACGUCACUCGCUCGUCUCAAGAAGAGAUUCUUUCACGUCACCAAUUUACCACACUACAAUUUUGAAUUUAUUAGAUGAAUAAUACAAUUUGUUUAAUAAAUGACCAACUUUACAAAUAUUUUUGUGAAGUGAUUUCACACAUUUUUUUAGCUUUUUUACAGACCCAUGUUUAAUUUUGGAUGUUGAUUCCGUUUGAUUUAUUCAUUCUGGUGGCCAUAAAUAAAGAGAGGUAUGUGAGAAACUAAAAAUGGUGCGUGAAAAUCCAUGACACUACUGAGCAUGAAUUUUAGUUAGAUGAAAAAAGACCUUACGCCUGACACAAGUGGGAGGACGUGACAUGAGUGCCUUUAUUCAAGGAUGAGGAAUGCUAAGGUGACUCUCAAAAGUAGGAAUCUCUGUCACCUCAUAGCUAGUUUAACGUCAAUUCAUUCAUGUGCCAGCAUUAUAAGACUAAUGUUAGGAAGACUACAUUUGUAGACAAAAUUUAUAAACUAAAUGACAUGGAAGCAGAUGAGUAGAUUAUUACUUAAGCGUUGAUAAAUGUGCUCAUUUCAUAUUGGUGACACGCCAUUUAGUUUGAAUUUUUUUUUCCACAAAUUUAGUCUAUCUAGCAUUACCCGCAUUAUAAGGUAUUGUGGUAAACAUAUGAGGUGACGGAGAGUUCAUAGAGAGUCUCAUUAGUAUUUCUCUUCAAGAAUUUAACCUCAUUCUCCCCACUUAAUAAUUUCACCAAAAAUGUUUUCUAAAUGCUCGCUUAUCAGGAUUAAGCCUCUGUUUGGUAUUGUUUUUUUUUCAUCAAAAGUUGCUUCACUUUAAAGUUAAGCAAUAAAAAUGUGUUUGGUAAAAAUAAAUUAUUUUGCUUAUAUUAAAAGUAAUGCAUGGCCUCCAGACAACAGCUUUUAAAAGCAGCAUGCAGGUAAAACUGCUUUAAUAAAAAGCUGAGUUGAGCCUUUAAUGAAUAUUUUUACUUCUUGUAAUACGCUCAAUAAUUUUUUCUUUUAAAAAAUAACAUUAUUUAUUCUUGUAGGCACAUUUUAUCAUUGGAGAACAAAGUGACCACCACUAUAAACCCUAACCUCUUACAUUACCAUUGCCAUGAUCACCACCAUUGUUGCCAUGACCACCACACUACAAUUGCACCACGACCACCACUAUAAACCCUAACCUCUUACACUACCAUUGCCAUGAUCACCACCACUGUUACCACCACCACACUUCAAUUGCGCCACGACCACCACAACCAUACGCACCACCACUACCAUUGCUAUUGUUACCACCAUGCCACUACCGCCACCACCACCACCAUAAAUACAACAACCGCUACCACUACUACCACAACCACCACCAUCGUUGUUAUCACCACCCCUACCACCAAUGUUGCCUCUGUAGCCCAACCACCACACCUCUUUAUUGGCACCAUGACCACGACCACGACCAUCACCACAACCCUACCAUCACAACCCCUUGCCCUUAUCAUUAUUGUCAUCGUCACCACCAACAUUGUUACGUUUAUUUUUGUCAUUAUAUACAAUUAUAAAAUAUCAAACGCUUUUACACUAUUUUUCAUAUUCACAACACUUUUAAAAAUACAGUUCAUCAAGCACUCAACUGCUUUAUUUUGUAGCAAAUUAUUCUUAAAGCACAUCAGAAGCAGUUUUUUAAAAAGCACAUCAAUCUCAAAAUGGCCGUAAUAUUAUGAGUUUUUUUAAUUGAGGUAAAUAUAUUAUGUAUUUGACCAAAACGAUUUUAAAUAAUUUGUAAUAAGAUGACGCGAAAAAAGAGCAGAAAUGCAACACAUGAAAUAAAACCAAAGCAAAGAGAUUUGAGGUUGAUUUUCAUUCCUUACAACAUUUUUAAAACAUUUCAAUUUCAUACCUUUACUUAUCAUUUUAUUUCAAUUUCAUACAUCCGUUAGAAAAUAUGUUAAGUAAACCGUUAAGUGAUGACGUGGCAAAUAUAAGGUCCCCAUUUGUGUUGAUGUGGCUGCCACAUUUGUGCCAUGUAGCUAAAAACUGAAUAAUUUUUUUUUAAAAAUAAUUAUUUAAAAAAAGUUAUAAAAAAAAAACACAGAUCCCCCUUCUUCCCCCGAAUCCCCACCCAUGCCCACCCUCCCAACCCCCAGCACCCACCCGGGCCACCCCUUCCUCCAUCCCACAUCACCAACAACCACUUACCUCCCCACUGCGCCUCCAUCUCCGACGAGAGCCUUCCUGCCGAGCUCUUCCCCCAGUACACCGGUAAAACUCGUCGGCAAAGUAGCUCCGUGUCGGAGCUUGUCGAAUCGACGUUUGUGGUUCAUUUUUCUCCAAACUGACGUCAUAGAUGAGUUCAAAGGGAAAGAGACUUUAAUGGCAAAGGGAAAGAAACUUUAAUGGCGGUGUUGGUGGUCUGAAAUUCGUCAGAGAUGGUGGUGGUCUUUAUCGACCCGAUCGAUCGAGGUUUUCUUCGAGUGAGGGAGAAUGUCGAGAGAGAAUGAGAUAGUUGGGGAAGAUAGUGGUGCGAGAGAAAUAGUGUUCGGGGUGAGAGAAAGGGUGGGGGAUGGGGAAAAGGGUGGGGGAUGGGGAAAGGGGUGGGUGAUGAAGGGUGGGGAUUCCGGGGAAGAAGGGGAUAUGUUUUUUUUCUUUUCGUUUUUUGUUUUUAACCUUUCUUUAUAUAACUAUUUUAAUAUUUUAAAUAUUUUAUUAAGUUUUUUUUACAUGUGGUACAAAUGUGGCAGCCAUGUCAGCACAAAUGGGGACACCAUAUUUGCCACGUCAUCACUUAAUGGUUUACUUAACAGAUUUUCUAACGGAGGUAUGAAAUUAAAAUAAAAUGAUAAAUAAAUGUAUGAAAUUGAAAUGUUUUAAAGAUUUUGUAAAGAAUUGAAAUCGACCUUAAACUUGAAAAGGUAAAAUGUAAUUUACCCUAUAUUUUUUGUUGGUUUAUCAUUUUCACCAAGCUUCACCUCAUCAAUACUUAAAGAAAUGUAUUAUGUUCUGAUCUAGAAACCAAGCUCCGCCUCAUCAAUACUUGAAUAAUUUGAUGCAUCAUGCAUUACUUUUGUUUCCUUUUGAAGGCCCAAACAAGAAACAAAGCAACACAAGACAAAGACAAUUACCGUUUAAUGGGUGUUUUAGAAACUCAAAAGCUUCAAUUUGUUUUGAGAAUCCAUUUGUUUGGAAUAAUGCUUGGGAGACUAAAAUUUUUAAAUUAAAUGAUGUGUCACCAAUUUUAACUUCCUCUUUUACUGUUAUACAAGCGAAAACGAGAGAGAUUUAAUAUGAGUAAAGGGAUACUUUACUUCUUGAGAUACAAGUUUAUUGUUAUAAUUUAGCAAGGUUUCUUCUAAGGAUCUUGGCUUUCUUUAUCUGUAAAAAAGUUGGGGUUUUGGUUGUUUAAUUAUUUUCUACCAGAAUUGCAAGAUAAAAAGGGAUACAAAGGAGAAGUGACAUAUGUAUAUGUAUAUAUAUAUAUAUAUAUAUAUAUAUGUUUUUUUGUCUCUUAUCAAUUAGGGUUUCUACAAUUCUUGUCGGAUUCUUUACCUAAGUUUUUAUUUGUCAGAUUAGUCACGAAAGUUCACUGUCAAAUUAAAUGAAAGGUAAUGAAAGUAGAAAACAGAAAACAAAUUAUCGGAGUUGACUGCUGGUAUGAUGAAUUAGUUGAAUAUCAUAGUGCACAAUGAACAAGACUACACAAUAAUAAAAAUAUUAUUAAAUAAACAAGAACACUGAAACGACUACAUAACACUAAGAAGCUACAUUGUGACUAACUUAUUCACGAUUGAAUAAAAAACAUGCUAUUUAUAAUAAACUAGUCCUAACUCUAAAAGGUAAUAAACCAAAACCUUAAUGCUAAUGGGCUAAACCCAGAAAACCAAAUAUUAAAGUAAACUUAAAUAUUAAUGUUUUCCAACACCUUCCGUCAAACUAAUGGCGGUAUACGACAUGAGUUUGCAAACAAGCAGUUGCGGACUGGCUCUGUUAGGCGGGCAUACAGGCAGGCUCCUCAACACGAACAGACAGGCAAGCUCUGCAACGCGGACAAACAAGCUCCGCAACCCCGCGGACAGAAAAAAGCAACAAUCCCAAAAGUGAUUCCAAAAAUCAAACCGAUAAUAUAGAUUGCAAGCUUUGUCUUGAAGCCAACAUUUCCAAAUUGAUGGUUCCAAAGUGUUGACAAAAGCACUGGUGCUAGUGUCACUGAAGCAACUGCAUAUGGCUUACACCAUCUUUCUUCACAAACAACAGGAAUAGUCAAUCUCCUAGGCAGAUAAAGCGGAGCUCAAGUAUGAAAAUCAGCGUGCGAAAAAAAGCCGAUGAUCUAAGAUUGGAGCAGCAUUUCUUGACUUCUACUACUUCAGAACUGCCUUGUGCAGCUCCUUCCUCUGCAGCACUGAGAUCUUCCUCUUCAAUGCUGAUAAGAAUUGGCACAGUCAAGUCACUCUCAUUGCUCGAAUUACGGCUCAAUUCAACGCUUUUCUUCCAAUGUGUGUGUGAGACGUAAACCACAAUCACAUAAGCAAUAUAGAGUGAAGAGAGAGCCAUUGCAGCCCACACAUCUAUUUCCUUGUGAAUCAAGAUAACACCCAAACAUACAAUGACCAAAAGGUAGAAGCAAAUAUCUCUCACAAAGUCCGCUUUGUGAACUCGAAUGCGCCUUUUGCUCAUUGAAAUGCUUAAGAUUCCAACCACAGCACAAGACACAAAGGAAGCACCCCCCAGAACUGUAUUAAGACCAAUUUCGCCAGUCCCGCCACCCAUAAACGAAACAAGACUGGAAAACACAUCAGGGGCUCCAUUGCCAAGAGAAAGCAGAGUUACCCCAGCAAUUGUGGGGGACAAUUUUAACAACCUAGAUAAACUAUCAAGUGAAGAACAUAAGUACUCAGAAGCUGUGUUCCCCAACACAUAGAACAAAACCAGAAGCCAAAGAAACAUACAGCAAUAACCCAAUUGAGGAAAAGUUCCAAAAUUGCAGUAGAAAAUGUUUAGAUAGUUUAUAUAGCCUUGGGAGACACAUGGGUUGUUGGAUUUAAGGUAAAAGCACUUUGCUUUGUAGUCAUCUAAACUAAGAAAACCCUUGCAAUCUAGUGAACCAGAAAUUCUGGAAACCCCAGAAGUGCUUAGAACCAGAAAAUCUGGAGCAUAGGAAUGUACAACCAAGAAAGCGCAUCCCACUAUCAGAAACGAGAUGUUCAGGAAAAUUAUGUAGUUUUUGUACUUUGGUAAGAAAACUAAGGUACCCAUUAGAGAAAUUCAAUCUAAUCUAAUUUUUUUUAAAGUAGAGAAAUUGAUUGAAAUUGAAUUUACCUUUAUGAUUGUGCUCCAGAGCAAUUGGAGAAGAUAAUGAAAAUCCAAAAAUGUAGGGUAGAAAUUGAGGAAAAUUACAAAAAUAUAAAGGGGUAGAAAUUGAAAUGGAUGGAGGGUUUUUUUAAUUUGGUAAAGCUGGAUGAUUAAGAGCACCUCCAGCGGGGGAGGUUGCUCGGGGGCUGUGGAUCAAACAGUAGCAAAUUGAUGGGGGGAUGAGCUCCAGCGUAUGGAAGCCCGAGCAACAGGCGAGGCCCGAGGAGCAGGCCCGUCGAGGAUUGCCAGCCCGAGAGCCCGAGGGCUGCGUCAGGCGCGUGCGUUUCACGCGCGCGUGGGCGCGAGUCGUCGGACAAAAAAACAGGGCUGGGGCCCGCGAUUUCAGUUUUGAAAAGUAACCGUUGGGGAAGCCACGUGGCUUCCCCAUGUCUGUUCGAUUGAAACGGUCAUAUUUUAUGGACCGUUGGAUUUCCAACGGUAAAAAACAUUUAAAAAUCUCAUUUAAUUUCAUCCGUUUGAUCUAAGAUCAACGGUUCACGUUAUUAGGCUUUGUAAAUUAUAUAAAAAAAAAGAAAAACUGUUUAAAAAUCUAAAAUGUUACCGUUGUGACACGUGGCACAAUCUGGAGUGUUGGAAUUUAAAUUUUUUUAAAUCCAACGGCAAAGAUUAAUUAGGUGAAUAAAAAUUAAAAAAAAAUGUAAAAAAAUUCUUAAAAAUCCGAAAAAAAUUAUGAAAAAUUAUAAAAAAUUUUGAUUUCACUUCACCUAUAAAUACCUUCUCAUUAUCUUCUACCCUACACCACAAUUUCAUAUUUUCUCAACUACUUUCAACCACAUUCCUAUCUUUCUUUCAAAGUUUCAAUCCAAUUUUUUUCCAACAAAAUGACUACUCAACCAGGUACGAAUUGGACGCUUCUUGAAGAUGUUGCGUUGUGUACUAGUUGGGUUCAAGUUACUCAUGAUUCGAUUACGGGUAAUGAGAUGCAGUUGCGAGAAAUGUGGAGUCUUAUUCAUACCAAUUAUCUUGAGAAAAUGGGUGGGCAAAGAACUAAAGAAUCGAUGUCCAGUCGUUGGAAAUUACUUAGUCAAUCGUUUAGUACGUUGAGAGACGCCUUGGCACAAGCUAGUGGUAAUCUUCGAAGUGGGGAAAAUUUAACGGAUCAGGUAACAAUAUAUUAUUUAUUUGUUAGCUACUUUCAUUAUAUUUAUUUGUUUGUAUUAUUUAUUUGUUAUCUUCUUUCAUUAUAAUUAUUUGUUAGCUACUUUCAUUAUAUUUAUUUGUUUGUAUUAUUUGUUACCUACUUUCAUUAUAAUUAUUUGUUAGCUACUUUCAUUAUAAUUAUUUUGUAUUAUUUAUUGUUACCUACUUUCAUUAUAAUUAUUUGUUAGCUACUUUCAUUAUAUUUAUUUUUGUAUUUUUUACCUACUUUCAUUAUAAUUAUUUGUUAGCUACUUUCAUUAUAAUUAUUUGUUAGCUACUUUCAUUAUAAUUAUUUUUGUAUAUUAUUUGUUACCUACUUUCAUUAUAAUUAUUUGUUAGCUACUUUCAUUUAUAAUUAUUUGUUUGUAUUAUUAUUAUUUGUUACAUACUUUCAUUAUAAUUAUUUAUUUGUUACCUAUUCUCAUUAUAAUUAUUUGUUUGUGUAGGAACUUCAAGCACAAGCUUGGUAUGGUGCCAAAACCAAAAGCAAAAAACAAAACAUUCACCCGGUUUGAAUGUUGGAAUAUUGUCAAAGAUUGUCCUAAAUUUAGAGUUGUGCAUGUCGGUCCAGAAGUUUUCAUGAAACAGCACCCCUCUACACUCUACACCUGAGCAUGCCUCGCAUGAUCAUGAUAAAGAUGAUGAAGAAGUGCCUGAAACGCCCCCCGUUGAACAAGCGUCGGGGUCGACCCGUUAUCCAAUUAGGCCUCAAGGUAAGAAGGCUUCAAAGAGAAAAGGUAAUGCUUCCAAGAAUGAUUAUGCAAAGUAUAUGGAAGAUCUUGCCCGCCAAGGUGAAUUGAAUUUGGCCCGGGAAAUGGCUAAAUUUGAGGCUGAUAAGGCUAGAGAGGAUGCAAAAGCUGCAGCUUUUGAGAGAGAAAAUUUGAAGCUGAUGAGAGAGAAAGAGAACUACUUCGGCAAGAAAGGGAACAUAGAAGAGAAGAAAGAAUGGCUGAACGAGAUCGUGACAUUAUGAAGGAGCCUUUAGAAGGGAAGUCUCCAGACUCUAAAAUAUUUUUGGAAGUCAGAGAAAGCGGAUGUGGUGCGAAGGAUGCGUGCAAGAGAAGCGAGAGCAAGAGGAGAUGGUCCUAGCACCACAAGAGAAGAUUAUCCUAGCAUGACAAGAGAAGAUCAUCCUAGCACCACAAAUUGGUUAGGUGAUGGUUAUCAUCCAUUCACAAACCCAUAAUUUUCCAAUCAAUUCGGGUUGUAAUUUCUUAUUCGGGUUGUAAUUUCUUAUUCAUUGAAUAGAGUACUUUAUGUUGUUUCCAAUUUAUUGAACUUAGUACUUUAUUCAAAACACAUUUAAACACACCAAAUAAAAUAACAUCAACACACCAAAAAAACACACCAAAUAAAAACAAACACCAAAUAAAAUAAAAUUACAUUUCAACUCACUAAAUGAACUAAAAAACACACCACAUAAAAUAAAAAUAAAUACACCAAAUAAAAACAAACACCAAAUAAAAUAAAAUUACAUUUCAACUCACUAAAUGAACUAAAAAAACACACCACAUAAAAUAAAAUAAACACACCAAAAUAAAAACAAACACUAAUGAACUUAAGUAUCGUCAGCACCCCUCAAUUCCCACUGGUGCUCUAUCAAGUCAAGUUGGCGGGCAUUGUGCAUAUUUGACCUUUGAAGUGCAGUAUAUCGUUGGAUGAUCCUUUCAUUGUAACGUCCAUCCCUUUCUAAUGGCUCAUGUUGCACGGGCUCAUCGGUGGCGUCAUGAGCACAAUAUAUACGUGUUCUUGAAUUGUUCAUCGUGUCUGGCUCAUAUUCAUCAACGGCUUCAUAAUCGUACUCAUCUUCCACAAUCAUGUUGUGAAGAAUGAUGCACGUCAUCAUGAUGGAUCGAAGCGACUCUACAUCAAACAAUCUGGCAGCACCUCUGAUGAUCGCCCAGCGAGCUUGGAGGAUACCGAAACAACGCUCCACAUCCUUCCUGCACCCUUCUUGACAUCUUGCAAAGUGUUUUUCCUUUGCACUGCGCGGACGUGGCACUGUUUUGACAAAUGUUGACCACCUUGGGUAAAUGCCAUCAGCUAGGUAGUAUGGCCCGUCGUACAUACGUCCAUUGACCUCAUACGUGACUUUUGGUGCGUUUCCUUGCAGGACAUCGUUGAACACUGGGGAUUGGGCAAGGACGUUGAGGUCAUUUUGAGCUCCCGGAACCCCGAAAAAGGCGUGCCAAAUCCAUGUAUCAAAAGAUGCCACCGCCUCCAAAAUGAUACUUUUUGAUCCUUUUCUGUCCCCAUAAGCGCCUUGCCAUGCACUUGGACAGUUUUUCCAAGUCCAAUGCAUACAAUCAAUGCUUCCAAUCAUCCCUGGAAAACCUCGCAUCUCGCCUUUCUUCAGAAGCCUUUGCAAGUCCAUAUGAGUAGGUAUCCGGAGGUACUCUGCGGUGUAGAUAGAUUCGAUUGCCGAACAAAACCUCAUGAGGGACUCAAGAAUGGUUGAUUGUCCCAUCCUCGUUAUCUCGUCCACUUGGUCUGCAGCUGCUCCAUAUGCAAGCAUCCGCAAGGCAGCAGUAAUUUUUUGCUGAGGCAGGAGACCCAUAGCACCAAAAGCAUCCGGCUUUUGCACAAAGUAAGAAUCAUGGUUGCAAACAGCGCCCAUGAUUUUGUUGAACAAAUGUCGUUCCAUUCUAAAACGACGUCGGAAGUAUGUAUCAGGGAAUGCACUGUUACGGACAAAAAUAAUCGUCCAAGAGCUCCUGACCUCGUCGUUGCCUGUUUCUAUCAAUGUUUACAGCACGGUUGGGCCUGCAGAGAUAUGAGCCACAGCUUGGACGACUCGACGGGAUUGUGAGGCUCCUGCCAUUCUUGAUUCGUCAUCUCGCCGUCUACGCUCGUCAUCCUCUUCCAUCUCAUUUUGGCCCCAAUCCCCAACAUUGAACAUUCCUUGUGAUUGGUUAAACAAUUCUUCCUCUUCUUGCUCGAUUUCCCACAUCAUCUUUGAAGAAGAAGAAGAAGACAUUGUAAGAAGGAAGCAGAAACUAUGAAUAAUGAUAGGGAUUUUGGUGAAGAAGGAAGCAAAAACUAUGAAAUAAUGAUAGGGAUUUUGGCGAAGAAGGAAGCAGAAACUAUGAAUAAUGAUAGAGAUCUUGAGAAAAUUGGUGUGAGAUUUAUGAGGAUGGAUGGGGGAUUAUAUGGAGGAUUCAGAAGGGAUUAGGUUGUAGAUAAUGCCACGUGGCAUGCCGUCAUUCGUUAAAAAUCUGGUGGAAAUCUAUCCUCAAAGAUUGUAAUCGGAUUGUGACACGUGGCACGACGUGAUUGGUUAAAAAUCUUAUCAGAAAUCCAUCACCAAUAAUUGUCUUUUCAGAUAAUGACACGUGCCUUGACACAACGAUUAAAAAUCUUAUCGGAAAUCCAUCACCAAUAAUUUUCUUUGCGGAUAAUGACACGUGGCGCAACGAGAACGAUUAAAAAUCUUAUCCGAAAUAACAAAUAUAAUUAUUUUGAAUUAUUUUAUAAAUACAAAAAUUUUAUUGCUAUUGGCUUUUCGGAUAAUGACACGUGGCGCAACGAGAACGAUUAAAAAUCUUAUCCGAAAUUACAAAUAAAAUUAUUAUGUAUUAUUUUAUAAAUAAAAAAAUACUAAUAUUUUAUUGCCAAUUGCCAGGGCUAUUCAGUGCAGGGGUGGAGAUGCAAAAGGCAAUUGCCAGGGGAAUGCACUAUUUAUUAAGAGCAGUUACUGUUCACUAGGUGGAUUAAAUAGUGAAUUGCCUGGGGGGAGGACUCCUACACUGGAGUUGCUCUAAGGUUGCUGCUUUUCUUGGGGAGAGAAGUGGAAGAGACAGAGCAUUUAAAGCUUUCCUUCUGAGUUUCCACAUUGUAGGAAUACUGUCACUUCAUGCAAUGUAAGGCCAUAGAUCAUGAUGCUGACAAGUUGAGGACACGUGUCGAAAGAUGGUGCCGUUGGGGCCCACAACCGUCCAAGGGAAAAUUUCUCGAGUAAUAUCAGUUACCACGGUAUUCAAGCGGAAACAACUACACGUGUGGGAAUUUGGUGGACGUCGGCUAUCAGGGUGAGUUUAGCAUCUGAGCUGUGAAAGCAAAGAAAAAGACUUGCGUCACAAUCAAAGCUUCAAAAUCGGUCUGUCCCUCCUUGGGCAAUGCGCUUUACAUUUUUCUUACUUUCUUCAUUAUUUGUUUGUAGAUCACAUUCUUUGAGAAAUUUUUGGGUUCAUUAGUCUUUGUCAAGUCACUCGUUUAUCUUAAAAAGAAAUUUUCUUGCAUCACUAGUUUAUCAUGCUACAAUCAUAAAUUUAUUGAAUAGAUAACAACAAUAAAGUCUCAUUUCAAUAAGUGGAGUUAGCUAAAUUUAAAAUGUCACUGGACUCAGUUUUACGCCAAAUUUAUUAGACGGAUAAUACAAUUUUUCAAUCCACAUUCUCCCCCACUUGACCAUUUCAUCAACAAUGUUGUCUAAAUGCUUUUGUUUCAUUUUUCAAUUUGAUGCUAGGCCCAUGUUAGACUAAAAACAACUGCCGUACAAAAGUAAGAUAAAAGGGAUACAAAGGAGAACAUAUAUACAUACAUAUAUAUAUAUAUAUAUACACAACUGCCGUACAAAAGUAAGAUAAAAGGGAUACAAAGGAGAACAUAUAUACAUACAUAUAUAUAUAUAUAUAGAGGCCCCUUCUCAAGAGGGAUUCUAAUUUUUCAAAAAAAAUGGGAAUACCUUCUUCACCGUUAGAUUUGACUUGAAUGAAAUUCUGUGGUUGAGAUGAAAUCACAGGCCACAAAAUCUUAAUCACAAAAUUUUAUUAAAGCCAACUCUAACGGUUAAGAGGGGAUCCUCUUUUUUUUUUGAAAAAUGGGGAUCCCUCUUGGGAAGAGAUUCCUAUAUAUAUAUAUAUAUAUAUAUAUAUAUAUAUGCUAGCUUUCAUGCACGCGCUCUUUGAAUCACAACGUGCUACGCAUGACUUACACAUUUUAAAUGAAUAAUAUUAGACCAUGCUAAAAGAAAUUCUUCGUAAAUCAAUCAAAACAGCCGAAUCUACAUUAGGGGCUCCAUUGCCAAGAGAAAGCAGAGUUACCCCAGCAAAUGUGGUGGACAAUUUUAACAACCUAGAUAAACUAUCAAGUGAAGAACAUAAGUACUCAGAAGCUGUGUUCCCCAACACAUAGAACAAAACCAGAAGCCAAAGAAACAUACAGCAAUAACCCAAUUGAGAAAAAGUUCCAAAAUUGCAGUAGAAAAUGUUAAGGUGGUUUAUAUAGCCUUGGGAGACACAUGAGUUGUUGGAUUUAAGGUAAAAGCACUUUGCUUUGUAGUCAUCUAAACUAAGAAAACCCUUGCAAUCUAGUGAAUCAGAAAAUCUGGAAACCCCAGAAGUGCUUAGAAACAAAAAGUCUGAAGCAUGGGAAUGUACAACCAAGAAAGCGCAUCCCACUAACAGAAACGAGAUGUUCAAGAAAAUGACCUAAUUUUUGUACUUCGGUAAGAAAACUAAGGUACCCAUUAGAGAAAUUCAAUCCAAUUUAAAAUAUAAAAAAAGUACAGAAAUUGAUUUGAAAUUGAAUCUACCUUUAUGAUCGUGCUCCAGAGCAAUUGGAGAAGAUCAUGAAAAUCCAAAAAUUAGGGUAGAAAUUGAAAUGGAUGGAGGGUUUUGGAGUUCGGUAAAGCUUAAGGAUUAAGGUUGCUUGCCGCUUUUCUUAUUGAGAGAAGUGGAAGACACAGAGCUUCCCUUCUGUGUUUCCACAUUGUACGAAUAUUGUCACUUUAGCCAAUGUAAGGCCAUAGAUCAUGGAUGCUAACAAGAUUGAGGACACGUGUCAAAUGAUGGUGCAGUUGGGGGUCAUUACUGUCCAUGAAAAAAAAGUUCACACGGCAUUCAAGUGGAAAAAACUACACGUGGGAAUUGGAUGCAUUUUUGCUCAUCAUUAUGAACUAUGGUGUAUGCUCACCAUAUAUCUUAUCAUUUGACAUGUGUCCUUUCACUUAAUCAUAGUUAAUUUUUUUUCAAAAUUAGAAAAGGAACAUUUAAUAUUAAAGUUAAUCAUAGUUAGUUAAAAGGACACGUGUCAAAUGAUACACCAUAGUUUAUGGUGAGUAAAAAUGCUCCUCGUGGGAAUUUGGUGGACGUUGGCUGUCAGUGAGUUUGGUCGCACGAUUUACGAUAAAUGAAUAUAAUUAGAAAAUUCUUGAACUCUUCACAAAGAGGAUUCUCAUUCAUAUUUUUCUAUCUUUCUUCAAUAUUUGACCUUUUAUUUUUAUUUUUUAUAAGUUGUGGCAUAUAUUUGUCACAAAAGGUUUAAGCGAUAGCAAAAAUACAAAAAGCUGAGAAUAGAUUCCAGCACUAGGGCUGGGUUUGGUUGGCAAACCGUGCCAAUUUCUUGUGCCACUUGCCGGCCGUAUAUAUAUAAUUACCGAAAAUUAGUUACCGCUAGCCAACCGUCUUUUUGCAGUUGCUAAAAAUCAGUUCAACCGAAAUUAUUGGUUAGUUCGGUUGACAAAUGGCAACCAAUGGUUUGCAAAUAAGCUACAAAAACAACAAUUGAAGACCAUGCAUUGACCCGUAAACAACAAACCCAAAAAGAAAAAAAGAAGUUGCUGCAAUUUUUCAAUUGAUGAUAAGCCAACAUAUUCAUGACCUAACAAAUUAAAAUGAAAAUCAAAACAAAACUCAAGCCAACAACAAUGUCAGCAAACAUAAUCCAAAUAGUUAUAAGUUUCACAAACUCAAAAGUCUAACUAAUAUAAUUUUAUAAAUUCAAUUGUAGCAACUAAUGCAUAAACAAAAAACUUAAAACUCAAAAGUAUGGUUAUGGUUAUAAGAUCUCCUUAUUAUAAUCCCAAAACAAAUAACUUCUUGUUUUGAUAAUGCAUAUUCAUUGAAGUAGCAGCAAUCAAUGCAUGUGAAAUCUUUCAUGAAUCAAUUCUUUGAGGCACUUAGAAUUGAUGUUCCUGCUUGAAAUGUAGAACCAUUAACUAUUUCAGUUCAAAUGUUACAUAAAAAAAAUAUGAUUAGCUAGAAUAAGAAAUAAUAUUGAAUAAUAAAUUAAAAAUAUCAAUAAACAUUGGAUUGAAGUGCUAUAAUUAGAAUUAGAAAAAUAUAUCAAUACUUACAAUUUUCCAGUUCUUCACAUGUCAAGCAUGUAAAAAAUACCUAAAACAUCUAAAUAGAAUAUAUAUAUAUAUAUUGGUAGGUAUGGCAUUCCGCCAAUAUACAAAAUCCAAUACCAAAGCCAUACCAUUAAUUGUCGGUUUGGUAUAAUUGUCACAUCCCGGGCCGGGGCGGACCACUUUCCGGGCCCGCUCUACCAUCGUAGCACGAUAAUGUCCGCUUUAGGUCUCGGCCACACCCUUACGGUUUUGUUUCUGGGAACUCACGAGCAACUUACCAGUGGGUCACCCAUCAUGGGAGUGCUCUAGCCCCCUUCUCGCUUAACUUUGGAGUUCCUACGGAACUCAAAGCCAGUGAGCUCCCAAAAGGCCUCGUGCUAGGUAGGGAUGAGAAUAUACAUUUAAGGAUCACUUCCCUGGGCGAUGUGAGAUGUCACAAUAAUGCCAACAGAUUAUGAAAAAAAUGCAAAAAUUAUACUAUAGCAUUAUGAACUGACCGGUAUGGUUCGGUCGGUAAAUUGAUUUAUAGCAAAAUUUCCCACCCCUGUCCAGCACAAUUCAAUACUGCAAUCAGUGCUUUACAUAUCUACAUUAUUUGUUUGUAGAUCACAUUCUUUAGAUAUUUUUGGAUUAGUCUCUGUUAAGUCACUCGUUCCUCUGAGAAUAGAGGUUAUAUCGCAUCACCAGUUUAUUACGCUACAAUCAUGAACUUAUUGAAUGGAUAAUAACAACAACAACAAAGUCUUAUUCUAAUAAGUGGGGUUGACUAUAUAAACUUAAACGUCACUGCGCUCAGUUUUGCGUUUAUUAAAUGUAUACACAAUGUGUUUAAUACAUGACCAACUUUACAAAUAUUUUUGGAAAGUAACAUUCACACACUUGUUUUUUUAACUUUUUACACAUUCAUGUUUGAUUCUGACCACUAAUUAUGUAUAAUUUAUUCAAUCUAAUAGUCAUAAAUAAAAAUAAUUGAGUAAAAAACUAAAAAAAAUCCAUGACGCUACUGAGCCUGAAUUUUAAUUACAAUCCUCGUACAAGUAGGAGUGUAGGAGGAUGUGACAUAAUUGCUUUUAUUCAAUCCACAUUCUUCUCCCCCACUUGACCAUUUCAUCAACAACGUUGUCUGCCUUUGUUUCCUUUUUCAAUUUGAUGCUAGGACCAAACAAGAAACAAAGCAACACUAGACAAAAACAACUGCUGUACAAAUAAAUGAAGAUUUAGGGAAGAUAGUUUUCUUAUUAGUUAGGAUUUUUACAAUGAGUGUCGCAUUCUUUACCUAAAUAAGUUUAUAUGCUUGUCAGAUUAGUCAUGAAAACUCACUGUUAAAUUAAAUGAAUGGUAAUAAAAGCAGAAAACAUGAGGCAAAAAGUCGAAGUUAACAUUAAACUUGACAUGGAUUACCACAAUCCUACGACUACCACAUAACAAGAACACAAGGGAAACAAAAGAACAUAAAAACUAAAGUUGAGAAACAAACAAACACCCACAUUAGACAACAGACUGCAUACUUUUAUUUUAGACCACUUUUGUAGUACCCUCAAAGCUAAUUGGCAAGAUAGUUAAUCACCAUAAGUGGUAAUGCUGUCCAUAAUCUUGGCCACCACCUCCUUAGAAUCCCUCAGCUUUUUUAUGCUUUUGUUAAGCUUCUCACGCUUUACUGCCACUGCCGGCGACUCCUCCAGCAUCCUCUCGAUUCCCCCGCCGUAUGGUCCCAUCAACUCAUUCACAAUCUCAGCUUCCAACUCUUUGUUCACAAGCUUAAAGACAGACAGCUGCAAGUGCAAUGCCAUGGAGUCCACAAGCCUCCUCAAAACAACCUUCCAAUAGGCAAUCAUUCUCAUUUUAAGGUCAUAAGCUUGACCUAACACAAGCGGGUACAUCCUCAGACAACCGACUUCCACUUCCCCGAUGCCUUCUAUAUCUAUGAUAGAAGGUUUCUUCUCAUCAGCUAAGACUCCAUGAAUGAAUUCAUUUUGAUUAGCCAUCAACUUGUUCCAUUCGGAAACAUAAUCACCAUCACAUGUAUAAUCUGUCAGCUUUUCCAUCUCUACAAGCUCCAGCAUCCACUUGAUUGACCUUUCCUUCAUCUUGGCCAUUAGAUUAUGGCCGGCACGCCUUGCUGACAGCUGCAGCUGAUGAUAGUUCUCCGUAUAAUGCAUCAACACAGAAAUAACCACCUCUUCAAUGUAGCUCCACACUUUUUCCACAAAUGCUAUCGGAAUACUCGAAAUUUCAUCCACUUUUCCCUGCAAGAUACUGAGGAAAGCAUUGCGUGGAAGAAAAUUUGGAAGUGAAAUACCUUUGGCCUUCUCCAAGAUCUUGAUCUCCUUCAUCAAGAAGUUGCUCUUUGCAUCAGUUUCAGCACAUCUGUGAAGUUCAUCAGAGUACAGGUUGACCAAUCUAGCAGUGCAGUGCAUGCUGUCUUCUGCGUACUCGUCAAAUUCUCCUCUCAAAAGAAUCUUCCUAAGCGAUUCCUUAGCCAAGCCAAUGAUUUGCAUAAAGGCCGUCAUGGCCUCGGCAACAGAUGAAAGACUCUUUGGCAUUUUAUUCAGUUCCAUAAUGCAGAAGUUCAGCCUGUCAUUGAUCUUCUUCACUAUAUCGGGUAUAUUUCUUGCUAUGCUGUUUGCUUGAAUUUGGACCAGCUUCUGUGCUAAAACUGGAAUACCGACAAUGGACUUGUCAAUCUUCGAAAGCAGGGGAUGGGUUUGAAAUAGUUCAUGAGCCAUCGCCGCUGCCUCCUCAUAAGUUUCGUCACCAAUCCUGUUCCUUACACAGACAUAACCAAGACCAAUGUUUACAUCAUCUCCGGUGACCUUCUCAAGUAGUCCUUCCGGUGCCUUGUCCACUUUCGUAACCACAGCGAGCGUCCUCUCACCAGUUUUAUCUACACUUUGUGACAUCCGAAUUGACUCACACGUAGUAAAAUCCACCGUAGCAGACAAUACAUUCAGAAUAAUACUUUCUUCCGGCUUAAUAUACUCCAUGAUCAUAUCUUUGAUCUGAUCAUAAAUAUUUUCAGGUUGGCCAUGGACCGGAACCCUUGUGAUUCCCGGAAGAUCAACCAUAGUCAGAUCCGGAACCCCAUUCUUCUUCACCAACAAAUUAAGUGGCGUGUUCGAAAUUCCCUUACCUCCUCCCGCAAUAGAAUUAGUAGCUUUCACAAUAUCUUUGGCGAUAUUGUCUUCAUCAGUACGAUCAACUCUGCCAUUGUACUCCAAGGAAAGUUCAGGCUGAGGACUCGAGUGGUGUUCCAGCCUCAUAAUAAGAGGCACUCUCCUGCAGAUGCCUUGGCCCCGAGGGAGGCUGAUGCCGGCCAAGGAUUCGAGCACGCUGGACUUCCCCGAUGACUGGUCUCCGACCACCACAAUCGUUGGCAGCUGAAUGCCUUCAUCCAUCACCAUCAAGCUGCGUAACUUGUCUACCGCAUCCAGAAGAGGGCGGAUCUUGUCGUUGUAGGACGACACAAUGGGUGCGCAUUUGAGAGGUACUGCGUCUAGUUCUGCCUGAACCAUGGCGAGGGAGCCUUCACCGUUUAAAUCUGUGCAACUCGAUUCCAUUUGCCUUGGUCCUUCCGUUUCUGAAUUAUAGCAAGUGAAAAUAAUGGUGAAAAAUCUAGAGAGAAACCGAGAUAAUUUCAAGCUUAGCUAAAGAAUUGAGGUUCUCUGGCAGCUUACCCUCCAGUUGAGAACCUUUUUUUACUAAGAAUGAUUUCAGGUAAGGGAAAACACCACUUUCGUGACCCUGUAGGAAACGAAGCCUUUCCUUCCAAUGCUGCAUUUCCACAAACUCAAGAGACUCUAAUACCCCAAAAGGCAAGUUACGCUCUCCAUAAAACUCAGCACCAAUUCGAAGAUGGAGUAAAAUGUUCUGUAUUGAGUUUAUGACUUAAUGGAGUAAACUGUUCUAUUUAUAGCUACUGCUAUAUAUCAUUCUUAGCCUUUAAGCAACUUAACUGACUCUCAAUCAACAAUAACAACACAUCUAAUAAAAAUGCUACUUUAUUUGUACCAUCAUUUGCUUACACUGAUAAAUAGCACUCAUACUCAUAAGCUGACAUGGCAGCCACAUCACUUAAAGUAAGAAGAUUACUUGUCAGAGAAGAUAUCAGUCAGGAAGAAGUGAGAAAGCUGGUUUUAGUAAGUGCCUUAGGCUUAAAGGCUUCUGGUAGUACGUAUACUUGUUCAGCAUAACCUAUCGAAGUAAAUGACAACCAGCCGUUUCAAAACCGCAUGCUGAGAGAGUUGUGAUUUGGACUUCCAAACGUUUAGCAAACCACACCUCAUGCGAGCCUUUGAACCCUAAUCAGUGUAAAUGUAAUAUGGACAGUUAACUGAUGACCAUUUUUUGUGCUUGAUGCUCUUGGACUUCAAUCAACCUUUAUAUAUUAUUCAUUCAAAUAAUCGAUCACAAGCUAGCCAAUGUAAGUUGUAACCCAACAGAGACGAGAUGUUGAAGAAAAUUAUAUAUUUUUUGUACUAUGGUAAGAAAACUAAGGCACCCAUUAGAGAAAGAGAAGUGCUAGCAGCCUUUGCACUAAUAUUUGUAUUUGGACCCUUUCAGUUUAACAAAUAACACAUUAUUUUCUAUACAAAAAAAAAAAAGCAAGAAUUUUGUCUAGGAAUUAACGAUGAGAAAUUGAAUCUAACAACCAAAAUUAAAGUUAACAAAAAAAAAUAGAGAACUUAAUUCUUAUCGAAUCGAAUCUACCUUUAUGAUCGUGCUCCAGAGAAAUUGAAAAGAAUGGAGGGUUUUUGAAUUUGGUAUUUUUUGUGUGGAGAAAAAUGAAACAGAAAGAGCCUUUGAAGAUUCCUUUUUGAGUUUUCACAUUAGGAAUUGGAUAUGCUCCCAAUUUUAGUGUCCGGAGCAUGUCCAUCAAUCGAUUUGGGUUGCUAAUUUGUGUGCAAAAGAAAUCAAAGUCGUUCAUUGUGUGUGGUGGGUCAGGAAAAUAAAUUAAAGGAGGCCGUUAGAUUCAAUUUGUGUGGCCCAAAUUGGUUGAUGCACAUGCUCCAGAAACUAAGGUCUGGAGCGGAUCCAAUUCCUUCACAUUGUGGAAUUUUGUUUCACUUUUACCAUUGUAAGACCAUAGAUCAUGGAUGCUGACAUGGUUGGAUAGGUGUCAAAUGAUGGUGUCCUUGGGGUCUCCACUGUGUCAAAGAAAAAGUAGUCCCCAUGGGCAUCCGAGCGGAAAGAGAACCCACGAUAGUAUAAAGAUUUUGCAUCACACUCAUAGCUUUGACAUCAAUCCUUUUCCCCUCCUUGCCGAUGUUCUUUAUAUUUUACUUUCUUUCUUGAUAAGUUGUUUGUAGAUGACAUUUUCUGAGAAUCUCUUGGGUGUCGUAUGCGUGCUACAUCACUCGUUUGUGUCAAAAUAUAUAUAAACAUUAUUUCUUUCAAUUGAUAUUUAAAAUUAAAAGUCUACAGACACUUUUUGGGUGAACUUGAAUUAAGGAAUUCUCAUUUUAUGUGUUAAGUUUUAUGCGGAUGAGUUACGUGGUACAAAUUCAAGAAUUACUCUACAUUUUAAGCUGUUUUUUUAAACAUUUAUAAGCACAUAUAACUGAACUAGAACGCCACAUGACAAUAAAUGAAUUUUAUAUAAAUCAUUGUUACUUGGAGACUAAGAUUAUGACACCAUUAAAUAUUACAUUGUUUUGCAAGAAAAAAGAGAACAUGGGAAAGAUAACAGGACCAAAACAAUUGAGACUACAAUUUAGGACAUAUUGUACCACAUCUUAAAAAAAAAAGUGGAAUUUACUUAUAUUAUGAAACCUACUAGUAUUAAAUGGUUUACAAUGUAAUUUACUAAAGUAUAACCUCUCUAGCUGAUAAGCCUAUGAGUAAUUAGCGUUUGUAGACAUCAAAUGCUAAUGAGAAAAAAAAAAAUCUAAUUUCAUCCUAUCCACCUCUAUUAUAAAAUUUAUGUUUCAAUGCAUAUACUAACGAUCAAAAUUCAAAUUUCAAUUGUAGAACUGAACCAAAUUAUUGGUAACAAAGCGAUAAUAUAACGAUCAAAACUCAAAGAACUCAUGCCCCGAGUCUAUCAAUAUUUAUUAAAUCCAAAUGUUGUCAACUAUUGGUCUAGUGGUAACUCGUCUUAAUUUUUUACAAGCGAAAAUUCUAGAGUACAUCAACUUAUAACAUAAAUUACAAAAUUUAACGGUUAAUAUGUGUUCAAGAAAUCAAAGAAAUCUAAGAUGUAUCAUUUAUGAAUAUGGUCUACAUGCGAAAUUAUCCUCAAAGAUCAUUGUUGGACAUCAAUGACGGAAGAAAAUCGACAAGUGCUUUGAAUAUGCUCGACAACGACUCUCAACUAUGUACACUCACGAGCAGCCUUAUAGAGGGCAAGUAUCCUUGACAUAAUUCGAAGACGUAGUAACUAAAGCAUGCUUAGCAGACCUCCAAGAAAUUGUGGUUCCACCAACAACACCCAUUUGGGAUCUUGCCGUGUGCAGAUUGAAUAAGUACCCAUCAUCAACAUAACCAACAAAUGGAACUCGAGAACUGGGGUGGGGGGGGGGGUGGUGUGGGAUGGUUGCACUCGAAGUUGAGUAGGGAUGGAACAAGCCCAGGUCAACAGUACCAUUAAGAUAACAUAGAAUUUCUUUAACACCUUUCAAUGUCUGCGUGUUGGCACAUGAUUGUGUCGUGCUAAGUGAUUCAUAAUGUAGGAAAUGUUAGGUCUUGUACACUGAGAUAAGUACAACAAAGCACCAAUUGCACUUAAGUAUGGAACCUUGGGUUCUAAAACCUCUUCAUCAUCUAUCUUUGGAUAUUAUAAGUCUCGUUGUGCAUUGAUGAGUCCAUAUUGUACUAUAUAUUUUACCCUAAUCUUAGUUACAAUUUUUUGGUUAUUUUGGUGAAGUUUUGAUACUUUGGUUUAUAUUUUUAAUGUAGAACAUUUGAAUUCCUCUUGAGCAUAAAGUGAUCAAACAGACAAAUUUUGGAGCAAUUCCAACUGAAGGAUGUUCGUGAGUCUUUCAAGAUGAUUAUGUCAAAAUUCUAGAUUUUUUUACCAAGCCAUUUGACCGUGGCCAUGAUAAGAAUGCCCAGCGCGCAGUUUUUCUAGAUUGACAUUUCUGGACGUUUUGGGUAUUUUGAAGGUUAAUAUGGCAUAUUUUAAGGAAGAUUCAAUCUGAAGAUUUGUAAAUGACGUCUCAAACUUUUAAAAAAAACCUUUUGGGACCAAAUCGGAGUUGAUUUAAUUAGUCAAAAGUUUGAUUUUCUAAGAAGUCCGAAUUUCAGUUCAAAUAGGAAAUCUUUUAUUUCCUAGUCAUCUUAUUCUAUUAUGUUUCCUAGUUUUUAGAAGACCUUUUCUAAGUAGGAUUUUAUUUUGUCGUAGUACAAAUAAGGCUAUUUAGCUAUUAGGAGGGGAAGGCAUCAAUUUGGAGAACUUAGCUAGGCUUUGACGAUUUGUAUUUCAAGGUGUUUUAUAUCAUUUUUCUAUUUCAAUAAAAUUCCUUUUGUUUUAUGGUUGUUGGUAACUAAUUUCCGUUUGUUCGGGUGAUGCCUUGAGCCUUAGCAUGAAUAUGUAGUUAAUUUAAUUGCUUAUGAUAUUAUGCAUACUUUGAAUUAUCAAUCACUGUACUUUAAACUGUAUUUGUGUCUUAAUGAUUCAUGACCAUUAGGAUGAUUAGAUAAGUAAUUGGAUGCAAUUCGGUCGGAAUACCACCAGGGAAUUGAGUAUUGCUUCUUGUGAUUGAUAGUUGUAAUUUCACCUAGAGCAAAUACCAUGUCUUAGGGGUUGCAUGGUUUUUUCAAGGGGUUUUAACAAAGCGUAAUGAGUCAUGCAUGUUUAUAUUUGAUCUGAAUACCACAGACAGAUUGCAUGUUUGAUAUACAUUCUAGCUUGAAUACCACGAGUAGAAUAUACAUUAGGAAAACCUAACCUUCAAAGUUGCAUGGGUAAUUCGUAAGUAAUUAGUAAAUCUACAUAGGAUUGUUCAGGGGAUGGCUGAAUCUUAGUGCUUUUCUAAAUUUAUUUCUUAAAACCUUUUCUUUUUUAUCUGAUUUCUUCUUAAUUGGUUACUAGUAGUUUUGUGACAACCCGUCCCGAAUUUGUAUGUAUUUUAAUCCCCGAGUGUGUAAAAUGACGGAAAUGCCCUCGAGGCUUAGUGACGUGGAUGUACAUAGAUAGUUUUAAAUUAUUUUUCUCGCUGUCAUAAUUAAAUCAUACACGACGCCACGAGCGCAUUGACGCGAAUUAGGGUUGAAUCGGAUUCGUAACGAAAAUGUUACAAACGAAUAGGUGUAAAUGAAUAAGUUUGGAUUUAUACCUAACCCACCAAUCAUAUUACUUCCUACAAUCUUGGACCCAAUUAAUUGUUUGGGUUAGCUUUAUUUCUUUUUGGACCCUAAAACCCACCAUCUCUUCUUGCCCAAUCCGGAGGUGCGCGCGCGCGCACACACACACACACACACACUAAAAAUAUCUCAUUUCUCUCCUUGGUGACCAAUCACACACACACACUAAAAAUCUCUCAUUUCUCUCCUUGGUGACCAAUCAGACGCACACACACACACAACCUCAUCUCAUCUCCUUCAUCUUCUCGAACUCUCUCAUUCGUCUGUACACCGUACGAACACCAUUCACAAAUCCACCAAAAACUUCACGGAUCAAGUAUUUGAACACCACUAUCACCUUUCCAGUGAUCUCAUGAGCGAAACUCUGAGAACCCAGAGCUUCGGCGAGGUACUCUAUUACUCUAAUGUGAUUAUGGACAUUUCAUGAGAUUUUGAGGCUUAAAUAGGGUCUUAAUCAACUCUAUAAGGAUCCUAGGCUAGUUUUGGACUGGUUUGAACGUCAGAAUCCUCGAGAUCACGGAGUUGCAGUUUUGGCUGGUUGUGUCGAGCUAUUUUCUGUCCAUUUCUCGAAGGUUUUAGGUUCCUAAAUAGGUAAGGACUUGUUCUCCUUGUUGAGAGCUUCAAUUCCAUAUAAACUUUAAGAAUUUUGGUUGAGUUUUGAAGAAGAUAUGAAUAUUUUAAAAUUUCCCAGUUUCCGGCGAGUUCAGACGGCGGCGGAGGACAACGGAUUCCGUCGAAGUUCACCGUUGAAGACAGAGAAUAUUCCGUGAACUUUAACGGAAUAUUCUAACGGCGUCAGGUAACUUUAACGGAAUAUUCUAGGAUUUUAACGAAAUAUUCCCUAACGCUGUUAGGGUUUCCGUAGUUGUAUCAAACACGUGCCUGCGCGUGGGACAUCAGAAAAUUGUUCUAAAAAUAUGGGGAUGUUCGUGGUGUUAAGUAGCCCACGAUGAUAUAUUCAAACACUCAAAUUGAGCAACGCAUGAGAAAUUAUUACACGGUUUUGGUUAUGUACUUUCAAAUUAACAUUUAAUCAGUUGUUUCACAUAUGGGUGAGACGUUUUCGGAGGACGAGUGUAGCCAGGUAGGACUUGGGGGCUACGACCCUGCUACAUACCAGUGAGUGGGCUUUUGGUUUUCUAUAUAUACGUAUAUAUGCUUUACUUUUUCUUAGAAACUUUUUAAAAUGGAUUCACGUUUUUUAAAUGCCAUGUCAAUUGCAUCACAUUUUAGUAUAUGCAUUAGUAUAGAUAUGCAUAAUGUUGCAUGACACUGCGGACGCCCAGGUAAGCUUCAGGUGAGUACAUAUUGAUGAUAGAGAUGGCAACGUGUAUGGUUAUGUUUAGAUAUAUUUAGUGCUCAUUAUCUUGCACCUCGGUAUUAGUGCUCCACUCGAGGCCAGGGCCUAGCGUUCACGUGAUUGUUCGCCUCCCUUACCACACGCUCACCUUGGAUCUAAUGCAGGUGCCAGCCUGUUGUACAGACCACAUUAGGUGGUUCCGACUCGUAGGUGCCUUGCGAUAUUUCGCACAGCCUUCACGUGAUCGUAGCACUUGAACGUACUUAUUCACACCCAGCCUGUCGUACAUACCACAUUAGGUGGUUCUGAAUCGUGUGCAGGAAUUGGUAGAUGAGCUAUAGGUUUAGCCAUACAGGUCACGUUAGGUGACUCCCGCUGCCAUAUCACUUUACAUUGUUUCACAUCACCUGGCUUAUAUAUUUUAUUACUAAGAUACUUGACAUGGCAUAUACUCGGUUUUCACCGAUCUCGAGUAUGAUUUCUAUAUAUGUAUGUAUUAUUAUUUUCUAGGAAAUUAUACGGGUUUUACGGUGAGGGGUUAUUAUGUUUAAAAAGAGAAAUGUGUUUUCAAAACUUUGCUUUUGCCCACUCACAAUUUCUGUUUUGUGCCCUCUAGGUUCUAGCUAGAAGUUUUUGUUGGUGGCUCAUGAGGACUCUACGACGGUUCUGACAGCCUUGCAAUAAUGUAGGAACUUUCUUUCACGUUCUGUAUAAUUAAUACUUAACUUACUAGACUGCACUUAGGUUACCUAUGCUCUGAGUAUUGUAUUUCCCACUUUAAACACUUUCACACACUUACAUACUACUCUAGUGUAACUUAGUUAGUUUUAGUUUUUAAUUACCCACAUUUCAAAUCACUAUCACUUCCGCAUUGCGCACAUGGCUACAUCACCCUCACGUGACGACCAACAUGCCUCGAUUCAGGUCGAGGUGUGUCAUGUUUUUCCUAAAUUAAUUUUAUUAAAUUCGUUUUUAUUAUAUUUAAAUUCAAAAUCAAAAUUUUUGAAUCCUUGUUUUUAGAUAAUUAACUAAGAUUUUGGUUUUGCAUAAAUUGUUUUAAAUAAUCCUUGUGGAAACGAUCUUGCUUGAACCGUUUAUACUACAAUUACCUUAUUCUCUUGCAAGUAUUUUGUGUGAUUAUAACCUCUUUACAUAGGUACUAAAAAUCCUAUCAUGCAUCAAGUGUACGGGUGGCCAUGAGAGUACUCAAAGGCAACACUUUAUCAUUAAAGCAAUGUAACACCGUCUUGGUGUUGUUUGACUGAUGGACCAGAAUUUUGGAUUGUGAACUACCUUAGUACAUAUGUGCAGAAGUGUGGCGGGUGACGUAAACAUAAAUAAUCAUUUUAACAUGCAUGUUAAUGGAAUGUUGGAUUCCGUUUAAUCAUAUUAAAUUAAUUUAUGUAUUGAUUAUCUUCAGGUAUAAUAAACCACAAAUGUGUGUUGCACGCCCUAGGGAAAUUUUUGAGAAACUUUUGGGUUCACUAGUCUGUAUCACGCCACUUGCUCGUCUAAAAAAGAGAUUCUUUCACGUCACCAGUUUACCAUGCUACAAUUUUGAAUUUAUUAGAUGGAUAAUACAUUUUGUUUAAUAAAUGACCAACUUUACAAAUAUUUUUGUGAAGUGAUUUCACACAUAUUUUUUAGCUUUUUACACACCCAUGUUUAAUUUUGGAUGUUGAUUCUGUUUGAUUUAUUCAAUCUGAUGGCCAUAAAUAAAGAGAGGUAUGUGAGGAACUAAAAAUGGUGUGUGAAAAUCCAUGACACUGCUGAGCAUGAAUUUUAGUUAGAUGAAAAAAAACCUUACGCCUGAUACAAGUGGGAGGACAUGACAUGAUUGCCUUUAUUCAAGGAUGAGGAAUGCUAAGGUGACUAUCAAGAGUAGGACUCUCCAAGAACUCUUUGCCACCUCAUAGUUAGUUUAACGUCAAUUCAUUCAUGUGCCAGCAUUAUAAGACUAAUGCUAGGAAGACUAAAUUUGUAGACUAAAUUUGUAAACUAAAUGACAUGGAAGUUGAUUAUUAGAUUAUUACUUAAGCGUUAAUAAACGUGCUCAUUUUCUAUUGGUGACACGUCAUUUAGUUUGUAAAUUUUGUCUACAAAUUUAGUCUCCAUAGCGGUACUUGUAUUAUAAAACAUUGUGCCAAAUAUAUGAGGUGACAAAGAGUCUCAAUUUUGAGAGAGUAUCAUUAGCAUUUCUCUUCAAGAAUUUAUCCACAUUCUCCCUACUUAAUAAUUUCACCAAAAAUGGUUUCUGAAUGCUAAUGAUACUCCCUCAAUUUUGAGAGAGUAUCAUUAGCAUUUCUCUUCAAGAAUUUAUCCACAUUCUCCCUACUUAAUAAUUUCACCAAAAAUGGUUUUUGAAUGCUCACUUAUCAAAAUUAAGCCCCUGUUUAGUAUUUUUUUUUUCAUCAAAAGUUGCUUCACUUUAAAGUUAAGUAGUAAAAGUGUGUUUGGUAAAAAUAAAUUAUUUUGCUUAUAUUAAGCAUAAUGAAUGACCUCUAGAUAGCAGCUUUUAAAAGCAUCUUGUAGAUACAAAUGCUUUAAUACAAAGCAGAGUUGAGCCUUUAAUGAAUAUUUUUAAUUCCUAUAAUACGCUAAAUAAUUUUAAAAAAUAACAUUAUUUAUUCUUGUAGGCACAUUUUAUCAUUGAAGAAUAAAGUUGUGAAAUCUCGUUCCCAAAAGUUCAUUAUUUAAUUUAUGUAUUUCAUAUCUAUUUGAUUUUAUUUAACUAUAUUUUUGUUAAUAUUAGAAUUUUAAUUAUUUAGUUACAAAUUUUAGUUUUUCAUAAUUAGUCAAAAAGAAAAAAAAACUAGAAUCUGCCAGAUGGCAGCGGGAGAGAGAUAGACCAAUUAGAAGAGAGAGAAAUGAGAGAAAGGAUGGGGACCUAGCCAAUCAGAAAAGAGAGCAAGGAGGGGAAAUGAGGGAGAGAAAAACCACCCAAUACCGGAUUUUUGCAUCGACUUGUGAUUUCGUCGAUUUCAUCGGUUUUUCCGACGAAUUCCACUUAGCCGUCACUUGCACACUCCACCCCGACCUCCAUUCUCUCAUUUCCACAAAAAAUACGUGAGUUUUUGGCCUGGAUUUCACAAAAAAUUGCGUCGAGGGCUUUGUGGGUGCACGGUGUCAAUUUCGUCAUUUCUAAAAGGUUUUUCGUCAACCACUGCCACCCUUAGGCGUCUUUUGAGUCCAAGAACAUAGCCUAAAUGAGUUUGGGGGUUGCAGAGCUGCGAAUUCGACAAAUCGAGGAACACCCAUUUCUAGGGUUCCGAUGGAUCGAGGGUGUUUUCAGGCGUUUCUCGGUCAAAUUGGACUUUGGCCUAGGUAUGAAAGUUGUUUCCCUUGUUGUGAUCUACAAUUCUGUAAAAUUUGGUAAUUUUUAGAGUUAGGUGAAUUUUUUGGUGAGUCGAGGCGACACAUGGCCCGAAGAACCACUUGACCUUUCUUGGCUAAAUUCAAUACCCUGAUUCCAUAUGUGACUUGUAAUUGAUGAAAUCCCGUCGUUCGAACAUAGUUUUGAUAGAGGCUGCCACUUGAUCAUUAUAUGAAUUGACGAUCCAACCGUUGGAUCGACACCAAACUUUAGUGCGUUAUAGUACGUAAUAUUUGAGACAUUAGUAACUUAGCGAUCAGGAAUCUGAUGUACGGAUCUUUCCGAAUUGAAUUUCUAAGUUUGUAAAAUCAAACAUUGGCCACCAUUUAAUUUUAGCGAUUGGCGGAGAUCUGACAGUCGGAUUGUUCUGAAAUUUUAGGAUAUUGUUCUAGGAGAUUAUUGAGAGUCUUGGGAAGUUAUGCAUCGGAGAUCCAUGGGCAGAUGUUCUAGAUCGAAUUAUAUAGGGUUGUGGACCCCACCGUUGACAGAGAGUUGACUUUUGGUCAAUAUGUUACGAAUUGAUCUUAAAUAAUAAAAUUAGUAUUACUAGAUACUAAGUAGGGCUUAGUGGGCCUAUAUGGGUUGGUGAGCUAUCACAGGUAAUAUAUACCUCGGUAUACGUGUAUGGGAUGCUUUAUGGUGAUAUAUAUAUGUGUGUGUAAUUAACUUCUUGAUAAUACGAAUGAUACGAAUGAUACGAAUGAUAAUUUUUAUGACAAUGUGAGCCUAGAAACCUAUUAGAAGUAUCCUGGUAGAACUUGUAUGCUUAUGUGACAUGUUAGUUAGUGGCCAUGAGGAAUUGAUAGUGCAGGUGAUUACGUUGUAAAUCAUAGAGGUUGAGAUAUACGAGUAAGUAGGUUGUGUGGUGAUAAGAAUGGAUCAUGUAAUAAUGUGGUACGUGGGUGGUCCUGCUUGGUUAAUCUACAUUAGGGGACCACGCCAUGUGAUGCAGGGGUAUGGUCCGGUUUGGUUAAUACACAUUAAGGGACCAUACGCAUCAUAGGGGUGACCCUGCUUGGUUAAUCCGCAUUAGGGAGUCACUGCCUAGGCCAUUUCUUUAUUUCCAUAGUUGGUCUUACUUGGUUAAUCCGCAUUAGGGGACCAUACUAUGGACGAUCCUACUUGGUUAAUCUGCAUUAGGGGACCAUAUGCAUCAUGGGGGUGACCCUGCUUGGUUAAUCCAUAUUAGGGGGUCACUGCCUAUUCCAUUUCUCUAUUUCCAUAGUUGGUCAUGCUUGGUUAAUCUGCAUUAAGGGACCAUACUAUGGGCGGUCCCAAUUGGUUAAUCCGCAAUAAAGGAUCAUACUAUCGGAUACAUGCCUAUGGUUCUACUUGGUAUAUCUGCAAUAGGGGACCAUACGCAAUCUAUGAGUGAUUAUACUUGAUAUAUCCGCGAUGGGUGAUCAUUGCCUGCACAGUUGGAUUAUGCUUAUGAUUCUGCUUGGUAUAUUCGCAAUGGGAGACCAUACACAUUUUAGGGGUGAUGAGGAUUAGUUGUACUUGGUACAUUUCGAUAGGAGCCAUAUUUUAGUCGAAUUUCGUUGAGUGGUUCGAAAUCCUUACUCUUGCUUAUUUCCACAUAAUUAGUCUCGAACCCUAGAUUCGAGUGAAUGAGGAUUACUCACAGUAGACCUUAUGAAUAUAAAUUAGAUUUACCAUGUUAUUACUUAUAAAUCAAGUAAGGAAUUAUGUAGGGUUCUUUAAAUUAAUUCAUGAAAUGAUAUGUUACCUCAUUAAUUGAUUAACGUAGUUAAAUGUUAUUAUUAUGCAUCCUUGAUUCAUGAAAUUGAUUAAUUUACAUGAUUGUGGAAUGACAUUGGUUAUGGUUGGUGUUACUAUGAUUAGAUUAGUUGAUUAAUGUGGAUUGAGAAUAAUAUUGUGCUUCAUUGGUUCUUUGAUAUGAUACAUGUUGUGAAUUGAGGUAUCAUGUUGAAAACAUAGUGAUUUAUAUGAUCGAUGGAAUGGAAAUCUUGAAUGUCAUGUGGGUUUAUUUUGUAGCCCUGAACCUGGUAAUUUCAUGCUUUUCAAGUUCUAAUAAUUGAUUGAGGAAUGCUCUACUUUUAUGCUUAAACGUACUGUGAUAAACUCAGAGUGUAGUGAAUGGUGAACUACGAAUGACUUGAUCCCGUCUUUGGGUACAUAGGCAGUCUAACACAAAGGUUAGAUGCAGCCAUGAAAUAAAAGAAAAUGACUGCGUGGUUAAAUCAUAUUAUUUUUUUUCUUGUCUCGGAGACGAGACAUGAUGAAUAAACUAAGAUGUGCUGAUAUCACGUGUCGAUCUUGGACGUAUGUCGGGAUCGGGGCAUGACAAAAGUGACCACCGCCAUAAUCACCACCAUUGUUGCCACCACCACCACACUACAAUUGUGCCACCACCACCACCACCAUUGCCAUUGUUACCACCAUGCCAUCACCCCCACCAUAAACACAACCGCCACCACUGCUACCACAACUGCCAUCAUCACUGUUAUUGCCACCCCUACCACCGAUGUUGCCUCUGCAGCCCAACCACCACACCCCUUUAUUGGCACCACCACCACCAGCACCACACCAUCACAACCCUUGCCCUUAUCACCAUUGUCGUCGUCAUCACCAAUAUUGUUACGUCUAUUUUUGUCAUUAUAUACAAUUAUAAAUUAUCAAACGCUUUUACACUGUUUUUUAUACUCACAACACUUCUAAAAAUAUAGUUCAUCAAACACUAAACAACUUUAUUUUGUACCAGAUUAUUCUUAAAGCACAUCAGAAGCAGGUUUUUAAAAAAACACAUCAAUCUCAAAAUGGCCUUAAGAUUAUGGGUUUUUCAAUUGAGGUAAAUAUAUUAUGUAUUUGACCAAAACGAUUUUAAAUAAUUUGUCAUAAGAUGACGCGAAAGAAGAACGGAAAUGUGACACAUGAAAUUGAACCAAAGCAAAUGAUUUUCUUGGGUUUUAACACCCAUAUAUUUUUUUGUUGGUUUAUCAUUUUCACCAAGCUCCACCUCAUCUAUAAUCUUUAUGUAUUAUGUUCCGAUCCCGAAACCAAGCUCCACCUCAUCAAUAAUUAAAUAAUUUGAUGGCAUUACUUUUGUUUCCUUUCUCAAUUUAAAGGCCCAAACAAGAAACAAAGCAACACUAGACAAAGACCACUGCUGUAUAAUGGGUGUUUUAGAAACUCAAAAGGAAAGAAACUCAAAAGCUUCAAUUUGUUUGUCGUGCUCUUUUAACUUCCACUUUUACUGUUAUACAAGCGAAAACAAGAGAGAUUUAAUAUGAGUAAAGGGAUACUUUACUUCUUGAGAUACAAGUUUACUGUUGUAAUCUAGCAAGGUUUCUUCUAAGGAUCUUGGCUUUCUUUAUCUGUAAAGAAGAUGGGUUUUUGGUUGUUUAAUUAAUUUCUACCCAGAAUUGCAAGAUAAAAAGGGAUACAAAGGAGAAGACACACACACACGUGUUUUUUUAAAGAUGAUUACAUUUCCUGGAUAGAACUGAGAAGAUAUAUAAACCGGCAAACAAGUUUAUUUAUCUUAGGAAAGUAACAGUAUUUCCAUAUUCACUUUCAUGUUAUUACAACUUUCAUCUUAUUACAACUUUGAUGUCGAAAAUUAGAAAAUUUAAGGAAGGUGGUUUUCUUAUCAGUUAGGGUUUCUAUAAUGCGCGUUGAAUUCUUUAUCUAAGUAAGUUUUUAUCUGUUAGAUCACGACGGCUCACUGUCAAAUUAAAUGAAAAGUAAUGAAAGCACAAAACAGAAAACAAAAUAUCGUAGUUGACUGCUGGUAGGAUAAAUUUGCAGUUAAAUUUCAUCGAAAACAUUAAACUUGACAAGGAUUACCAGAACCAUAAAAUUACCACAUAACAAGUACACAAAGGAAACGAAAAACUUGAAACAAAAGUUCACAAACAAAUAACCAACGACAUAAGAAAACAGACUGCAUACUUUUAUUUAGACCAUUUUUUAGUACCCUCAAAACUAAUUGGCAAGUUAGUUAAUCCCCAUAAGUGACAAUGCUGUCCAUAAUCUUGGCCACUACCUCCUUAGAAUCCCUCAGUUUUUUUAUGCUUUUGUUAAGCUUCUCACGCUUUACUGCCACUGCCGGGGACUCCUCCAACAUCCUCUCAAUUCCCCCACCGUAAGGUCCCAACAACUCAUUCACAAUCUCAGCUUCCAUCUCUUUGUUCACAAGGUUGAAAACAGACAGCUGCAAGUGCAAUGCCAUGCAGUCCACAAGCCUCCUCAAAACAACCUUCCAAUAAGCAAUCAUUCUCAUUUUAAGGUCAUAAGCUUGAGCUAACACAUGCGGGUACUUCCUCAGAACACCGACUUCCACUUCCCCGAUGCCUUCUAUAUCUAUGAUAGAAGGCUUCUUCUCAUCAGUUAAGACUCCAUGAAUGAAUUCGUUUUGACUAGCCAUCAGCUUGUUCCAUUCGGAAACAUAAUCACCAUCACAUGUAUAAUCUGUCAGCUUUUCCAUCUCUACAAGCUCCAGCAUCCACUUGAUUGACCUCUCCUUCAUCUUGGCCAUUAGACUAUGGCCGGCACGCCUUGCUGACAGCUGCAGCUGAUGAUAGUUAUCCGUAUAAUGCAUCAACACAGAAAUAACCACCUCUUCAAUGUAGUUCCACACUUUUUCCUCAAAUGCAAUCGGAAUACUCGAAAUUUCAUUCACUUUUGCCUGCAAGAUAAUGAGGAAAGCAUUGCGUGGAAGGAAGUUCGGAAGUGAAAUACCUUUGGCCUCCUCCAAGAUCCUGAUCUCCUCCAUCAAGAAGUUGCUCUUUGCAUCAGUUUCAGCACAUCUGUGAAGUUCAUCCGAGUACUGGUUGAGCAUCUCAACCAAUCUAGCAGUGCAGUGCAUGCGAUUGUCUUCCGCGUACUCCUGAAAUUCUCCUCUCAAAAGAAUCUUCCUAAGCGAUUCCUUAGCCAAGCCAGUGAUUUGCAUAAAAGCCGUCAUGGCCUCAGCAACCGAUGAAAGACUCUUUGGCAUUUUGUUCAGCUCCAUAAUGCAGAAGUUCAGCCUGUCAUUGAUCUUCUUCACUAUCUCAGGUAUAUUUCUUGCUAUGCUGUUUGCUUGAAUUUGGACCAGCUUCUGUGCUAAAACUGGAAUGCCGACAAUGGACUUGUCAAUCUUCGAAAGCAGAGGAUGGGUUUGAAAUAGUUCAUGAGCCAUCACCGCUGCCUCCUCAUCAGUUUCGUCACCAAUCCUGUUCCUUACACAGACAUAACCAAGACCAAUGUUUACAUCAUCUCCAGUGACCUUCUCAAGUAGUCCUUCCGGUGCCUUGUCCACUUUCGUAACCACAGCGAGCGUCCUCUCACCAGUUUUAUCUACACUUUGUGACAUCCGGAUUGACUCACACGUAGUAAAAUCCACCGUAGCAGACAAUACAUUCAGAAUAAUACUUUCCUCCGGCUUAAUAUACUCCAUGAUCAUAUCUUUGAUCUGAUCAUAGAUAUUUUCAGGUUGGCCAUGGACUGGAACCCUUGUGAUUCCCGGAAGAUCAACCAUAGUCAGAUCCGGAACCCCAUACUUCUUCACCAACAAAGUAAGUGGCGUGUUUGAAAUUCCCUUACCUCCCCCCGCAAUAGAAUUAGUAGCUUUCACAAUAUCUUUGGUGAUAUUUUCUUCAUCAGUACGAUCAACUCUGCCAUUGUACUCCAAGGAAAGUUCAGGCUGAGGACUCGAGUGGUGUUCGAGCCUCAUAAUAAGAGGCACUCUCGUGCAGAUGCCUUGGCCCCGAGGUAGGCUGAUGCCGGCCAAGGAUUCGAGCACGCUAGACUUCCCGGAUGACUGGUCUCCGACCACCACAAUCGUUGGCAGCUGAAUGCCUUCAUCCAUCACCUUCAAGCUGCGUAACUUGUCUACCGCAUCCAGAAGAGGGCGGAUCUUGUCGUUAUAGGACGACACAAUGGGUGCGCAUUUGAGGGGUACUGCGUCUAGUCCUGCCUGAACCAUUGCGAGGGAGCCUUCACCGUUUAUAACUGUGCGACUCGAUUCCAUUUUCCUUGGUCCUUGCGUUUCUGAAUUAUAGCAAGUCAAAACAAUGGUGAAAAAUCUAGAGGGAAACCGAGAUUGUAGAGAGAUGAGAGAGAAUUCGAAGAUGGAAAAUGUUCUGUAUUGGGUUUAUGACUUAAUGGAGUAAAAUGUUCUAUUUAUAGCUACUGCUAUAUAUCAUUCUUAGCCCUUAAGCAACUUAACUGACUCUCAAUCAACAAUAGCAACACAUCUAACAAAAAUGCUACUUUUCCGAUAUAUUUGUACCAUCAUUUGCUUACAUUGAUAAAUCGGACUCAUACUCAUAAGCUGACAUGGCAGCCACAUGACUUAAAAGUAAGAAGAUUACUUGUCAGCGAAGAUAUCAGUCAGGAAGAAGUGAGAAAGCUGGGUUUAGUAAGUGCCUUAGGCUUAAAGGCUCCUAGUUGUAUGUAUAAUUGUUCAGCAAAACCUAUCGAAGUAAAUGACAACCAGCCUUUUCAAAACCGCAUGCUGAGAGAGUUGUGAUUUGGACUUCCAAACGUUCAGCAAACCAAACCGCUUGCGAGCCUUUGAACUUCUAAACCCUAAUCAGUGUAAAUGUAAUAUGGACAGUUAACUGAUAACCAUUUUUUGUGCUUGAUGCUCUUGAACUUCAGUCAACCUUUAUAUAUUAUUCAUUCAAAUAAUCGAUGACUAGCUAGCCAAUGUAAGUUGUAACCCAACAGAGACGAGAUGUUGAAGAAAAUUAAAUAUUUUUUGUAAUUUGGUAAGACAAACAAAGGCACCCAUUGGAGAAAGGGAAGUGCUAGCAGCCUUUGCCCUAACAUUUGUGUUUGGACCUCUUCACUUUAACAACUAACAGGUAUCAUUUUCUAUACAAAAAAGCAAGAAUUUUAAAGCUUUUGUCUAGGAAUUAACGAUGAGAAAUAUAAAAUAUACAUUAUUAUGUCAUUCAUUAAAAUGAAAAUUUUCAAAUGCAAAAGUUAGUGCAAAAGUGUAUUUCUCUUAGAAAAAUUCAAUCUAACAACCAAAAUUAAAGUUAACAAAAAAAAGUAGAGAACUUAAUUCAUAUUGAAUCUACCCUUAUGAUCGUGCUCCAGAAAAAUUGAGAAGGAUGCAGGGUUUUUGAAUUUGGUAAAGCUUAAGGAUUAAGGUUGCUGUUUUUUUUUUUUUUUUUUUUUUUUUUUUUUUUUUUUGGAGAAAAGUGGAAGAGAAAGAGCCUUUGAAGAUUCCUUUCUGAGUUUUCACAUUGUGGGGAUUUUGUUUCACUUUUACCAUUGUAAGACCAUAGAUAAUGGAUGCUGACAUGGUUGGACAGAUGUCGAAUAGUGGUGUGGUAUGCCCAAUCGGUUUAGGUUGCUGAAAAUAGCAACUUUAACUAAAAAUAGUGCAGGACUUUAAAAGAGGAAGGGGAAAUAAGAGUUUGAGGAAAAAGAGGCAACUUUAAUUCAUCAUUUCAUAGGUUCUUUACGCUCUCCAUUAUUACAUAUUUAUGCUCCUCAUAAAAGAGAAAAUAGAGUUUUAACGAAAAGCCCGCGGUACUGUUCACUUUAAUGAAAAACCACAUUUUUACACUAAAAAGUCAAAUCUGGUACUAUUCAUAUUACUCUUUAUUUUGUUCUUAUCGUUAAAAUUCAAAGUUUUAAAGCAUUUUUCAUUAGUUUUCCUAAGAGAACAACCCUAGCUACUUGGACAUAAAAAAAAAGGCUAGUACGGGCAAGUUGCAAGAGGAGAAGUAGUGGGCUCAAGUAAAUGGGCUUAAUAACUCCCCCCUCUCCUUGAGAAUAGGCCUGACCUUAGGUCAAGAAAUCGAGGUAACGGGCCAAGAUGUCGUCAGCUUCCUCCCAGGUGACAUCUUCAGUGGGUAGGCCAACCCACUUGAUCAACCAUUUUGUCGCAGCUUUAUUUUUUUUUCUUGAAUAUGCCCUUGUCUAAAACUCUUUCUGGUUGCCAGUGUAGAACCCCAGUGGAGUCGAUAGGAGGCAAAACUGACAGUGGAGGAGAAAUACUACCAAUCUUUUGUUUAAGGAGAGACACAUGAAAGACGGGGUGGAUUUUGGAGUCUAAAGGCAAACGAAGCUGAUAUGCUACGAAACUGAUGCGCUUAGUUAUCUGAAAAGGUCCAUAGAACUUGGGUGCCAGCUUGUUUGUUGUUCUAGUAGCCACUGAUUGUUAGCGGUAUGGUUAAAGCUUCAGGUAAACCCAGUCACCAACAUUAAAUUCCCGCUCAGUUCUCUUGUUAUCAUAGACUUGUCUCAUUUUGUUCUCUGCAAGCUGCAAAUUUGUUCUCAUAAGACAGAUUAAUUUGUCCUUAUCCUGUAUUGCAGCAUCAAUUGAGUGUACCGUCGUGGAGCCGAGCAUAUACAUGCAAAGGUGGUUCAAUGUCAUAAACAGCCUGAUAUAGAGACAUUUUGAUGGAAGAUUGGAAGCUUGUAUUAUACCACCAUCUAGCCCAGGGAAUGAGAGAAGACCAAUUGGUGGGUUUGUCUAUUGAGAAACAUCGAAGAAAAUGUUCCAAUGUGCAGUUAAGGACUUUCAUUUGCCUAUUCGUUUGAGGGUGGUAACCUAAACUUAGGCAAAGUUUGUUGCCUUGGAGUUUAAAGAACUCUUGCCAAAAGUUACUAAGAAAAUUGGGUCGCGAUCUGAAACGAUCUAUUUUGGCAUACCAUGGAGUCAGAAAACCUCAUUGCUGAAAGUAUCAGCUACAAAGGCAACUGUGUAUGGGUGCUUUAAUGGGAUAAAGUGGCCAUACUUUGAUAGGCGAUUGAUGACAACUAGGAUCACGGUGUACGCGUUGGAAAAUGGGAGCCCUUUGACAAAAUCAAGAGUGAUGUCCUGUCAUAUGCCAGUGGGGAUGAGCAAGGGAUGCAGUAACCUAGGAGGGUGUUUUGUAUGCAUUAAGCCACAAUUUUUUUUUGUUUCCUUUCGAAUUCCCGGCCAUAAAACUUUUUUGGAGAGUCUUUUGUAUGUUCAAAGGAAGCCCAAGUGACCAUCUUAGAGAGAUGCAUGGAAUUCAUCCAAGAGUUUAGGUUGCCAUUGGGAUGUGAGUAGUGGGACAAAGAUCUGUUGCUUGUAGUGCAACACAUCAUUUAUAAUUGAGAACCCUUUGAUUGAAGUGUUGGGUAUUGGAACUAAAAGAUUCCAAACCUUUUGCACUUCUAGAUCCUAUGCAUAAGACUGUUGCAACUGAGGAAUGCAAUCAAAUAUAGGGGUAGAGAGGCCUAUUAAGAGCAAAAGUUCUUGUUGGCAGGAGAUAGCAUAUGGAGCACUGUUUUGAGAACCCGACCUAUACUCGACCGAGUAGUUGUACCCCAACAAUUUCACCAGCCAUUUUUAAUUUUUUUCACAAAAACUGUAAGUUAUAACUCACGUUUUCCAAUCGAUUUUAAGAACUUUUACAAGAUUCAUUAUAAGCCAAAAUUUGAGUCGUUUUAGUCGCACCACAUGUUUUCUAAAAUUAAUUUAGGACAUCCCAAAUAUUUUUCAACACCUACAAAUUUCUUUGGUGGCUUCACUAUUAGUUUAUACUAUUUUUCUAACUCAUAGUAACAACGAAAAAAUUUCUCAGCAUGACCAAAAUGAUUGAUGGUGCAUCAGAGACUACUUUUAUCGAUUUCAAAUUUGAAGGACUAAAGUAAGGAGUUAUGCCAGAAAGUGGCCCUCUACCACAGUGGUGGAGAGGAGUAUUGGCCUUACACUACGACAGAGCUUCGAACCAUGACGGCUCCCUAAUCUAACAUCUAAUUAAAAAAUCUAUUGUUUGACGAAGAAAAAAAAGUAAGGAGUUAUGUCAAUUUCAAAAUCCGUUUUGGCCCCUUUUUAACAUGGAUGGAGGGUUUCAAAUUCCUUGUUACUACCUUUUAGGGGUUUUAUUAAAUUUUAUGAAUUUUUUUGUUGGUAUAUUUGAGCGUGUCUUUAAAAUGAUUAAAAUUGUUUUAAUAUAAUAAAAUAAAAAGUGUUUAUGACAACAUUUUGACCAAAAAAAGGACUUUAUGGAGAGGUCUAUGAGCAAAAUGCAACUCUUACUACCUAUUUGUACUAUAAUUUGUACCACUAAUAAAGAUGAGACUCACAUGCGUUGGCGAGCCUUACCUCUAUUAGAGAUAUAGUAGAAAUAUAUGGUAAAUGUAGCAUUACUCGUCUAUGAGUGUUUUCAACGGAGUACAAUUCUCUGUCAUCCUAUUCCUAGUGUGGUUUAGUCCAUACUAAGUGUAUGGAUUCUAACAAACGAUCAAUUAAAACAUGAAAUCUAAUAUGGACAUUUAAUUAAAUGUUUAUUAAUAUUUACGGUGCGGUUCGGUUUCGGUGUAGUUUUCAAAAGCCAAAACCGAAACCAAACCGUUUUCUAUGUUGCGGUUCGGUUUCAAAACCGAAACCGUUUCAAAACCGCAAAACCAAACCAUUCGGUGCGGUUUGAUUUGGUUCGUGUUUUGGUUUCGGUUUUCGGUUCUAAGUGCCAAUCCCUAGGAGAGCGUGUCCCUUUUUUUUGAAAAAUAUGGAUCAUUUCCCUUAAGCUCCUCCUACACACACACACACACACACACACACACACACACACACAUAUAUAUAUUAAAAUGAUAACCUUUCUUGGAUAGAACUGAGCAUAUAAACAUGCAAAGGUAAUGUUAGAGAGACCAAAGUUUUAAACAAAAUAAUGUGUUACCAAUAAAAAAUAAGCACGUUAAUCAACGCUAAAGUAAUAAUUCAAUUAUCAAUAAGCACAUCAUUUGGUUUGUAAAUUUGAUUUAAAAAAUUUGGUCUCCCUAACAUUAUCCAACCUGCAAACAAGUUUAAUUAUCUUAGACAAGCAACAUUAUUUACAUAUUUACUUUCAGGCAAUUACAAAUUUGACGUCGAAAAGAAGAUUUAAGGAAAAUGGUUUUCUUAUUAAUUAGGAUUUUUACAAUGCGUGUCGCAUUCUUUACCUAAAGUUUUUAUGUCUGUCAGAUUGGUUAUGAAAGCUCACUGUCAUAUUAAUAAACGGUAUUAUAAGCAGAAAACAUGAGACAAAAAAUAGGAGUUAAACUGUAUGUAAGAGGAAAUCGCACUUAAAUUUCAUUAAUAACAGUAAACUUGACAAGGAUUACCACAAUCAUACGACUACGGACUAUUACACAACAAGAACACAAGGGAAACAAAAGAACUUAAAAACAAAAGUUGACUAACAAACAACCACCCACAUCAGACAACAGAAAGCUAAUUGCCAAGUUAGUUAAUCACCAUAAGUGAUAAUGCUGUCCAUAAUCUUGGCCACCACCUCCUUCGAAUCCCUCAGUUUUUUUAUGCUUUUGUUAAGCUUCUCACGCUUUACUGCCACUGCCGGGGACUCCUCCAACAUCCUCUCAAUUCCCCCACCGUAAGGUCCCAUCAACUCAUUCACAAUCUCAGGCUCCAUCUCUUUGUUCACAAGGUUGAAAACAGACAGCUGCAAGUGCAAUGCCAUGGAGUCCACAAGCCUCCUCAAAACAACCUUCCAAUAAGCAAUCAUUCUCAUUUUAAGGUCAUAAGCUUGAGCUAACACAUGCGGGUACAUCCUCAGAACACCGACUUCCACUUCCCCGAUGCCUUCUAUAGUUAUGAUAGAAGGUUUAUACUCGUCAGUUAAGACUUCAUGAAUGAAUUGAUUUUGACUAGCCAUCAACUUCUUCCAUUCGGAAACAUAAUCAUCAUCACAUGUAUAAUCCGUUAGCUUUUCCAUCUCUACAAGCUCCAGCAUCCACUUGAUUGACCUUUCCUUCAUCUUGGCCAUUAGAUUAUGGCCGGCACGCCUGGCUGACAGCUGCAACUGAUGAUAGUUCUCCGUAUAAUGCAUCAACACAGAAAUAACCACCUCUUCAAUGUAGCUCCACACUUUUUCCUCAAAUGCUAUCGGAAUACUCGAAAUUUCAUUCACUUUUCCUUGCAAGAUAAUGAGGAAAGCAUUGCGUGGAAGGAAGUUCGGAAGUGAAAUACCUUUGGCCUCCUCCAAGAUCUUGAUCCCCUCCAUCAAGAAGUUGCUCUUUGCACCAGUUUCAGCACAUAUGUGAAGUUCAUCCGAGUACUGUUUGAGCAUCUCAACCAAUCUAGCAGUGCAGUGCAUGCGAUUGUCGUCCGCAUAGUCCUCAAAUUCUCCUCUCAAAAAAAUCUUCCUAAGCGAUUCCUUAGCCAAGCCAAUGAUUUGCAUAAAGGCUGUCAUUGCCUCGGCAACAGAUGAAAGACUCUUUGGCAUUUUGUUCAGCUCCAUAAUGCAGAAGUUCAGCCUGUCAUUGAUCUUCUUCACUAUAUCGGGUAUAUUUCUUGCUAUGCUGUUUGCUUGAAUUUGGACCAGCUUCUGUGCUAAAACUGGAAUACCGACAAUGGACUUGUCAAUCUUCGAAAGCAGGGGAUGGGUUUGAAAUAGUUCAUGAGCCAUCGCCGCUGCCUCCUCAUAAGUUUCGUCACCAAUCCUGUUCCUUACACAGACAUAACCAAGACCAAUGUUUACAUCAUCUCCAGUGACCUUCUCAAGUAGUCCUUCCGGUGCCUUGUCCACUUUCGUAACCACAGCGAGCGUCCUCUCACCAGUUUUAUCUACACUUUGUGACAUCCGAAUUGACUCACACGUAGUAAAAUCCACCGUAGCAGACAACACAUUCAGAAUAAUACUUUCUUCCGGCUUAAUAUACUCCAUGAUCAUAUCUUUGAUCUGAUCAUAAAUAUUUUCAGGUUGGCCAUGGACCGGAACCCUUGUGAUUCCCGGAAGAUCAACCAUAGUCAGAUCCGGAACCCCAUUCUUCUUCACCAACAAAGUAAGUGGCGUGUUCGAAAUUCCCUUACCUCCUCCCGCAAUAGAAAUAGUAGCUUUCACAAUGUCUUUGGCGAUAUUGUCUUCAUCAGUACGAUCAACUCUGCCAUUGUACUCCAGGGAAAGUUCAGGCUGAGGACUCGAGUGGUGUUCCAGCCUCAUAAUAAGAGGCACUCUCGUGCAGAUGCCUUGGCCCCGAGGGAGGCUGAUGCCGGCCAAGGAUUCGAGCACGCUGGACUUCCCCGAUGACUGGUCUCCGACCACCACAAUCGUUGGCAGCUGAAUGCCUUCAUCCAUCACCAUCAAGCUGCGUAACUUGUCUACCGCAUCCAGAAGAGGGCGGAUCUUGUCGUUGUAGGAUGACACAAUGGGUGCGCAUUUGAGAGGUACUGCGUCUAGUUCUGCCUGAACCAUGGCGAGGGAGCCUUCACCGUUUAAAUCUGUGCAACUCGAUUCCAUUUGCCUUGGUCCUUCCGUUUCUGAAUUAUAGCAAGUGAAAAUAAUGGUGAAAAUUCUAGAGAGAAACCGAGAUAAUUUCAAGCUUAAUUAGCUAAAGAAUUGAGGUUCUCUGGCAGUUUACCCUCCAGUUUAUAACAUUUUUUUACUAAGAAUGUUUUCAGGUAAGGGAAAACACCACUUUCGUGAUCCAGUAGGAAACGGAGCCUUUCUUUCAACCGCUGCAUUUCCACAAACUCAAGAGACUCUAAUACCCGAAAAGGCAAGUUACGCUCUCCUUAAAACUCAGCACCAAUUCGAAGAUGGAGUAAAAUGUUCUGUAUUGAGUUUGUGACUUAGUGGAGUAAAAUGUCCUAUUUAUAGUGAUGCAGUACAAGACUCUCAUGCAUGUAUUGGAAUCUACCAAGAGUUGGAACCAUCAAAUAUAUUUAAUGGAGUUUUAGAGCAACACAACUAAUUAAGUAGUCAUUUAAGACCAUUUUAAAUAUUUUGGGUAGAGCAAAAGUCCAAUUCGGACUAGAGUUUCAUUGUGUUGUAUUCCUUAUAAAUAUAUGUACUAAUUGUAUUCCUUAAAUGACUACUUAAUUAGUUGUGUUGCUCUAAAACUCCAUUAAAUAUAUUUGAUGGUUCCAACUCUUGGUAGAUUCCAAUACAUGCAUGAGAGUCUUGAUUACUACAUCAUUUAGCUACUGCUAUGUGUCAUUCUUAGCCUUCAAGCAGCUUAACUGACUCUCAGUCAACAAUAACAACACAUCCAACAGCUUAAGGAUUGCUGUUUUUAGUGGAGAAAUGUGGAAGAGAAAGAGCCUUUGAAGAUUCCUUUAUGAGUUUGCACAUUGUGGGAGAUUUUGUUUCACUUUUACCAUUGUCAGGCCAUAAUCAUGGAUGUUGACAUGGUUGGACAGAUGUCGAAUGAUGGUGUCAUUGGGCCCCCACCAUCAAAGAAAAAGCAGUCCCCAUGGGGCAUCUAAGCGGAAAGAGAAUCCAUUAUAGUAUAAAGAUUUAGCAUUCACACUCAUAGCUUCGACAUCAAUCAUUUUCUUCCUUGCCGAUGUUCUUUAUAUUUUGCUUUCUUUAUUUCUUGAUAAGUUGUUUCUGGAUGAUAUUUUUUUAGAAUCUCUUGGAUGUCGUAUGCGUGCUACGUCACUCGUUUGUAUCAAAACACGCAUAAACAUUAUUUCUUUCAAUCGAGAUUUAAAAUUAAAAGUCUACAUACACUUUUUUGUUGUAAUUUGACUGAUGGACCAUAAUGUUGGAUUGUGAACUACCUUAGUACAUAUGUGUAGAAGUGUGGCAGGUGACGUAAGCAUAAAUAAUCAUUUUAACAUGCAUGUUAGCAAAAUGUUAAAUUGUGUUUAAUCAUAUUAAAUUAAUUUAUGUAUUGGUUUUGUUCAGGUAUAAUAAAAUUAAAAACACAUGUAUAAACUUAGUGUAAGUUUUAGGAUUCUCACCUUUAGAUUUCAUAGGUGGACAAAUUCAAUGUUGUUAAAGAUCCCAAGUGUUAGCCCUCAACUAGUGUCUACACGAAUAAAUAUCUGGCUAGUGAAGCAAAAAAACGACAAUUUGCUAGAACUUUAUCCAUCAGGUAGGUGUUGCCAUAAAGGGAUUUGGUAUGGUGUUUUGUUUUUCAAUUCUCUAAAUUGGAAAACCUAUUUCUUUUCUCUCUAAUAUCUAUUUGCGAUUAUUGAAUUCUCACACUAUGUUACAUAGACCCCUUAGGCUUAUAAAAAGAACAAUCUGUAAUUAAGCCAAUUGUGUGUUGCACGCCCUAGGGAAAUUUUUUAGAAACUUUUGGGUUCACUAGUCUGUAUCACGUCACUCGCUUGUCUCAAGAAGAGAUCCUUUCACAUCACCAGUUUACCACACUAAAAUUUUGAAUUUAUUAGAUGGAUAAUACAAUUUGUUUAAUAAAUGACCAACUUUACAAAUAUUUUUGUGAAGUGAUUUCACACAUAUUUUUUAGCUUUUACACACCCAUGUUUAAUUUUAGAUGUUGAUUCCGUUUGAUUUAUUUAAUCUGGUGGCCAUAAAUAAAGAGAGGUACGUGGAAAACUAAAAAUGGUGUGUGAAAAUCCUUGACACUACUAAGCAUGAAUUUUAGUAAGAUGAAAAAAGACCUUCGCUUGAUACCCGUGGGAGGACGUGACAUGACUUCCUUUAUUGAAGGAUGAGGAAUGCUAAUGUGACUUUCAAAAGUAGGACUUUCUAAUGACUCUCUGCCACCUCAUAGCUAGUUUAAUGUCAAUUCAUUCACGUGCCAACAUUAUAACACAAAUGCUAGGAAGGCUACAUUUAUAGACAAAAUUUGUAUACUAAAUGACAUGAAAGUUGAUGAUUAUAUUAUUAUUUAAGCGUUGAUAAACGUGCUCAUUUUCUAUUGGUAACAAGUCAUUUAGUUUUCAAAUUUUGUCUACAAAUUUAGUCUCCAUAGCAUUACCUGCAUUAUAAAGUAUUGUGCCAAAUAUAUGAGCUGACAAAGAGUCCAUAGAGAGUCUCAAUUUUGAGUCUCAUUAGCAUUUAUCUUCAAGAAUUUAUCCACAUUCUCCUCACGUAAUAAUUUCACCAAAAAUGUUUUCUAAAUGCUCACUUAUCAAGAUUAAACCCCCGUUUGGUAUUUUAUUUUUUGGGUAAAAGACUGUUUACUACCCUCAUGUUUCGUGGUUUUCAACAUUUAGUACAUCAUGUUUUUUUCGUCUCAGAGUCAUACCUAAAGUGUAAAUUUUGGGACAGUCUCAUACAUCCGUUAGUCAAACUGUUAAGUUUUUCGUUAACUGUGACGUGGCGCACUGACUGGGCGCCACGUGUCAUCCACGUUUUUUUUUUUUCUUUUUCUUUUUUCUUUCUUUUCUUUUCUUCUUCUUCCUUCUUCUUCUUCUUCCUCCGACUGCAACUUUUUUUUUUUUUUUUGCUUCUUCCUUUUCCUUCUUCCUUCCUUCCUCCUUCCUUUCCCUUUCUUCCCCUUCUUCCUUCUUCUUCCUUCUUCUUCCUCCGAAAUCUGGGGAAUGUUUUUUUUUUUCUUUCUUCUUCUUCCUCCUUCCUUCCCCUUCUUCCUUCUUCUUCUUUCUCCUUCUUCUUCUUCUUCUUCUUCCUCCGAAAUCUGGGGAAGUUUGUUUUUUUUUUUCUUUCUUUCUUCUUCUUCCUCCUUCUUCUUCUUCUUCUUCUUCCUCAAAAAAAAAAAAAAAAAAACACUUUUAUCUUUUCUUCCUCUUCUUCUUCUUCUUCUUCUUCUUUCUCUUUCCUCCUUCCUUCUUCUCCUUCUUCUUCUUCUUCUUCUUCUUCCUCCGAAUCUGCCCAGAUUCAAUUUUUUUUUUCUUCCUCCUUCUUCUCCUUCUUCUUCUUCUUCCUCCGAAUUUGGGGGAAGAUGAAAGUGUUUUUUUUUUUUUGAGGAAGAAGAAGAAGAAGAAGAAGAAAGAAAGAAAAAAAAAAAAAACAUUCCCCAGAUUUCGGAGGAAGAAGAAGGAAGAAGAAGGAAGAAGGGGAAGAAAGGGAAAGGAAGGAGGAAGGAAGGAAGAAGCAAAAGGAAGAAGCAAAAAAAAAAAAAAAAAAACAAAAACAGAAAGUUGCAGUCGGAGGAAGAAGAAGAAGAAGGAAGAAGAAGAAAAGAAAAGAAAAAAAAAAGAAAAAAAAAAACGUGGAUGACACGUGGCGCCCAAUCAGUGCGCCACGUCACAGUUAACGAAAAACUUAACAGUUUGACUAACGGAUGUAUGAGACUGUCCCAAAAUUUACACUUUAGGUAUGACUCUGAGACGAAAAAAACUUGAUGUACUAAAUGUUGAAAACCACGAAACAUUAGAGUAGUAAACAGUCUUUUACCCUUAUUUUUUUCAACAAAAGUUGCUUCACUUUAAAGUUAAGCAGUAAGAAUGUGUUUGGUAAAAAUAAAUUAUUUUGCUUAUAUUAAAAGUAAUGCAUGUCCUCCAGACAGCAACUUUUAAAAGCAGCAUGUAGGUAAAGCUGUUUUUAAUAAAAAGCAGAAUUGAGCUUUCAAUGAAUAUUUUUAAUUCCUGUAAUAUGCUCAAUAAUUUUAGAAAAUAACAUUAUUUAUUCUUGUAGGCACAUUUUAUCAUUGGAGAACAAAGUGACCACCACUAUAAACCCUAACCUCUUACACUACCAUUGCCAUGAUCACCACCAUUGUUGCCACCACCACCACACUACAAUUGCGCCACCACCACUACAACCAUACACACCACCGCUACCUUUGCCAUCAUUACCACCACACCGCCGCCGCCGCCGCCACCACCACCAUAAACACAACUGCCACCAUCAAUGUUGUUGCCACCCCUACGACCAAUGUUGCCUCUGCAGCCCAACCACCACCACCAUCCCAACCCUUACCCUUAUCACUGUUGUCGUCGUCACCACCAACAUUGUUACGUCUAUUUUUGUCAUUAUAUACAAUUAUAAAUUAUCAAACGCUUUUACGCCGUUUUUCAUACUCAACACUUUUAAAAAUACAAUUCAUCUAACACUCAACUGCUUUAUUUUGUAGCAGAUUAUUCUUAAAGCACAUCAGAAGCACUUUUUUUUAAAGCACAUCAAUCUCAAAAUGGCCGUAAGAUUAUGAGUUUUUCAAUUGAGAUAAAUAUAUAAUUUAUUUGACCAAAACGAUUUUAAAUUAUUUGUAAUAAGAUCACGCGAAAGAAGAACAUAAACGUUACACAUGAAAUUAAACCAAAGCAAAUGAUUUUCUUGGGUUUUAACACCCAUAUAUUUUUUGUUGGUUUAUCAUUUUCACCGAGCUCCACCUCAUUUAUACUUAAAGAAAUGUAUUAUGUUCCGAUCCAGAAACCAAGCUCCACCUCAUCAAUACUUGGAUAAUUUGAUGCAUUACUUUUGUUUCCUUUCUCAAUUUGGAGGCCCAAACAAGAAACAAAGCUACACUAGACAAAGACAACUGCUGUAUAGUGGGUGUUUUAGAAACUUAAAGGAAAGAAACUCAAAAGCUUCAAUUUGUUUGUCGUGCUCCUUUAACUUCCUCUUUUACUGUUAUACAAGCGAAAACAAGAGAGAUUUAAUGAGUAAAGGGAUACUUUACGCCUUGAUAUACAAGUUUAUUGUCAUGAUCUAGCAAGGUUUCUUCUAAGGAUCUUGGCUUUCUUUGUCUAUAAAGAAGUUGGGUUUUUGGUUGUUUAAUUAAUUUCUACUAGAAUUGCAAGAUAAAAAGGGAUACAAACACUACAAGAAAGCCGGGCUUAUGUGACGACAGAUAUUCGUCAUAGAAAAUAAAAAUGCGUCACAUUUGAUAAUAUGUGACGCCUUUACAGCGUCACUGCGAACGUCACCUAUGAUGCGUCACGGAAAGUAUAAGUGACUAAUUUUAAAAGCGCCACAUAUUUGUAGUAUAUGUGACACUGUUUUCGUCAAUUAAUAGGAGAUUGUGACGGAUUAGGCGUCACAAAAGAAUAAAUUAUGUGACCUAUAUAAUUCGUAAUGUAUGAAAUAGAUAAGUGACACUGAAGGCGUCACAUUUUUCUUCCAUUUGUGGCAUAGCUUGGGUCACUUAUGUCAAAAUAAAAUAUCUAUUUUGAAAAUAUAUGUGACAAACCAAUACAAUUCCCUAUUUAUAAUAUGAUGUUACAAUUCCUUGUUUAUAAAAAAGAAUCAAUUAUGUGACCUAUAUAAUUCGUCACUUAUGAAAUAGAUAACUAACACUGAAAGCGUCACAUUUUUCUUCCAUUUAUGGCACAGCCUGGAUCACUUAUGUCAAAAUAAAAUAUCUAUUUUGGAAAUAUAUGUGACAAACCAAUACAUAUUCCCUGUUUAUAAUCUGAUAUUACAAUUCAUUGUUUAUAAAAAAGAAUAAAUUACAUGACCUAUAUAAUUUGUCACUUAUGAAAUAGAUAAGUGACGCUGAAAGUGUCACAUUUUUCUUCCAUUUGUGGCGUAGCCUGGGUCAUUUAUGUCAAAAUAAAAUACCUAUUUUGGAAAUAUAUGUGAUAGACCAAUACAUAUUCCCUGUUUAUAAAGGAUCAAGGGACAAACAUUUUGACAAACAUAUAUAUAUAUAUAUAUAUAAUAUAUAUAUGUUUUUUUUUUUAAGAUGAUAACAUUUCCUGAAUAAAACUGAGAAGAUAUAUAAACCGGCAAGCAAGUUUAUUUAUCUUAAGAAAGUAACAGUAUUUCCAUAUUCACUUUCAGGUUAUUACAACUUUGACGUCGAAAAAAUAAGAACAUUUAGGGAAGAUGUUUUUCUCAUAAGUUAGGGUUUCUUCAAUGUUUGUCGGUUUCUUUACCUAAGUAAGUUUUUAUCUGUCAAAUUAGUUACGAAGGCUUACUGUCAAAUUGAAUGAAAGGUAAUGAAAGCAGAAAAUAGAAAACAAAAUAUCGGAGUUGACUAUUGGUAGGAUGAAUUUGAGUUAAAUUUCUUUGAAAACUUUAAAAUUGACAAGGAUUACCAAAACUAUACAAUUACCACAUAACAAGAACACAAAGGAAACUACGAGCUUGUUUGGUAUCCUAUUUGAAAAUUAUUGUCAUUUCUCAAAACAUUUCUUGAAAACAAUUUUCUUUAAGACUAAAAAACUUGACUGGUUUGCGAUUUACAAUUUUUAAAUCUUACAACUAAAAUUAGGCAAAGAGAUCUAAAAAGAGGGGAUCGUAGGAGAGGGAGAAAGAGGAGAGAAGAGGAAAGAAAGCAAGAGAUGAUUGAAGAAAAGAGAAAGAAGAGAGAGAAUCGAACAAAAGAGAGAGGAAGAGGAGUGAGAGAAAGAACAUAGAGAAUGAAAAGAGCAGAUUGAAAGAGAGACGAAACAUGUAAAAAAAUAAAAAUAAAGAGGAGAGAGAGAGAGAAGAAAAGAGAGAGAUUUGGAGUGAGAGGGGAGAAGGGAGAGAAGAAAAAAAAGUGUGAGUUUAAGUUUAAAAACUCUAAAAACUCACUUUUUAUGUUUUUAGAUAAUAGACUAUAUUUUUGAGUUAGUCUUGAGUUUAGUUUUUUAAGUAGUCUUACCAAAGACUAAAACUUGAAAAUUGUUUUUGAGUUUAAAAAAUUGGAUUCAAGGAAAGUAUCAAACAGACGCUAAAAAACUUGAAACAAAAGUUUACAAACAAACAACCAACGACAUAAGGAAAACAGACUGCAUACUUUUAUUUACACCAUUUUGUAGUACCCUCAAAACUAAUUGGCAAGUUAUUUAAUUACCAUAAGUGAUAAUGCUGUCCAUAAUCUUGGCCACUACCUCCUUAGAAUCCCUAAGCUUUUUUAUGCUUUUGUUAAGCUUCUCACGCUUUACUGCCAUUGCCGGCGACUCCUCCAACAUCCUCUCGAUUCCCCCAUCGUAAUGUCCCAUCAACUCAUUCAUAAUCUCAGCUUCCAUCUCUUUGUUCACAAGGUUAAAAACAGACAGCUGCAAGUGCAAUGCCAUGAAGUCCACAAACCUCCUCAAAACAACCUUCCAAUAGGCAGUCAUUCUCAUUUUAAGGUCAUAAGCUUGAGCUAAAACAUGCGGUUACUUCCUCAGAACACCGACUUCAACUUCCCCGAUGCCUUCUAUAGCUAUGAUAGAAGGUUUAUUCUCGUCAGUUAAGACUCCAUGAAUGAAAACAUUUUGACUAGCCAUCAACUUGUUCCAUUCGGAAAC
This 66158-nucleotide long non-coding RNA is filed under the name Malus domestica (apple). Lineage: Eukaryota; Viridiplantae; Streptophyta; Magnoliopsida; Rosales; Rosaceae. The record is from RNAcentral.